This 69243-nucleotide long non-coding RNA is filed under the name Citrus x clementina. RNAcentral describes it as "Citrus clementina (C. clementina) long non-coding RNA (CCLE_LNC001439)". The record is from RNAcentral. Lineage: Eukaryota; Viridiplantae; Streptophyta; Magnoliopsida; Sapindales; Rutaceae.
AAAGAGUCGUAAUUUGGGAUGCAAAUGUAAGAAUUAGACAGAUGACCAGUUGUUUUGAAGCGCUCGAAGAAGGAUUAAUUACGUCAUUGAAAGGCUCCAAUUUUGUGACUUUUUUUUUUAAUUUGUUGUUUUUUCUAUUUUUAGAUAGCUUGAUUGUCAGUUGUCGUGAUGUAAUGCUUUAGUGUAGAAAAAUGAUAUUCGGCCAAGACAACAUUAGCAGGGCACCUUGUGCAUGCAUACUAGUGGAUAAUUUCGGCAUGCUAAAUCCAAUUAGGGUGGAUGACCCUUUAUAAGCAUUAGGCUUCUCUCAUACCCGAAAACAAUGUAGAAUACGCUUAUAAGCUGCGGAUCACCCAUUAUAAGUUUUAGGCUUCUCCUUUACUCGAGCGAUGUGGAAUACCUUUAUAAGCAUUAAGCUUCUCCCAGUAUCUUUAUGUUAAAAAUAAUAAUAAUAAAAGAAAUCCAUUUUAAAAUAGACUCUUUUUUCUUUUUCUAUAUAAACAAAUGCAUUCUUCAAAUCAAUUGUGGGCAGAAGAAGUUAGUAGAAAAGAACUAGUCCCCUUUCAUUCCCCCUUAAAGCUCACCAAAGCCUCUUUUGUAAGCUUUUCGGAUUUUCUUUCUAUAUUGCUUAUGAUCUCAUUUUUGAUUGAAUCACUUCUUUUGCAUGCUGCAUAUUUUGUUUGUUGUAUUUGGAUAUUAUCGUAUCUGGAAUGCUGUUAUGAUUGAUGGAACAAGUAAUCGAUAUUUGGUCUGAUGGAAGUUGACUUAUUUAUUUAUUGUUAUUUUAAUUUGAAACUAUGUACAAUUGCAUUUCAUUCAUUUCUCUCUCUCCCCCCCCCCCCCCCCCACACACACACACAUAUAUUUGUUAUGUAUAAUUGCGUUUCAUUUGAUAUUGAUCAUGCUGUAGAUAACCAUGUGAUUGUAGAUGGGGAUUUCAAGUUUGUUGAAUAUUCAAGUAAGUGAAGUAACUGUCAAAAUACUAGUGAAAUUGGGAGCUUUAUUCAUGAGCUUGUGGUUUUGAAAAGUACCACAGUUCAACCGAUGAAGGUUCCUUUUUGGGGUUCUUCUUUUUCUAGGCUGCAAUUAGGAUAUGUACAUGUUAGACAAUCUUUUGCGGGUUUAGCAUAUCUUCUCUGAUUUUGUCUUUUAUUCCCCAAUCUUAUAAUUGCACACCAUGAAUGUUGAGUGAUUGUAUAGAAAAUUUGUGUUAUAACCAAAGCGUUGUGAAGGAGUUAAGUUAGUGGCUUCUGUUUUAUUGGCAUUGAUUGGGUAGAUUAUGUGUUACAGUGAUUCAAUUUGUGCUCCAAAGUUUGCUUUAAUUUCUUUUUUCCCUAAUUAUUUAUGUCAAAUUUAAAUCCAGAAGCAUGUACUGAUUUUUUCUUUUUGUAUUAAUCUGUGAAGGUUAUUUGGAAUGGAAGUAUCUGGGUUGGGUCUAACGGAUUAAAUUAUGACAUUGGGGGGAAGGCAGUAAAGGGUUUGCUCGACACAUUUGGUUCUGUGUUUACUUUGCAAGAAAUAGCUUUUGGUUAUCACAAUGCCGGUGGAAUCCCGAUUUGGCUCGUGAAUUUCUUUGUGACAAAUAGGCAAACACAUCAACCUCUUCUAUCCAUCCUUCUACUGGUAAGGCAAGGGGUAAAGAGUCUUCAAAAUCAUCAAAUAGUAACAUCUCUGAGAAUUCAUUUUAUGCAAAUGGAAAAUCUAGACCUUCUAAGACAAAAUGGCGUCCUGUAUCAGGAGGUACCGUUUCAAGUUUUCUUGGUAAAAAUUAUGUUAAACCUGCACAGCCAGCUAAUGGCACAUUUCUAGCAUCAAAGCCAUUGAAGUUGGAUCCAAAGGGGUUUCCCAUGUCUCCACUUUUGCGGAGAAGAUACUAAACUGAAACAAUCAAAGGAUGACCAUUUGCAGAAGGAUAUGGAAGAUUUUCUGUUUAAAUUGCUAGGAGAAGUGUUCCUAUUGUCCUUUUCAAUGUUCUUUCUUUCUUUCUCUUCUUUUCUUCUUCUUCUUCUUUUUUCUUUUUGUGUGCGUGUGAUCACUAAUUUGGUAUUGUAGUUUAGUUGCAGAUAGUUGUGGAUAUGAUAUGCAAAAGGUAAGGACUAUAUCUUCCUGAUGGAGGCCUCUGCUUUUUCCUUUAUGUGUAAUUUAAUAAAUUGCAUCUUCCUUUGUGAUUGUUAUAUCAUAUCAAAGACAAGUCUUAAAUACUGCUGUCAUAUGUUAAGGUUCAACUUGCAGUUUGAUUAACAUUCAUGGCUCAAAGGCCUGAAAAAACUUGCCAGUAAUUGUAAAAUGACAUUCUUUGCUUUUAAUGCAAUAGAGGGAACAGGGAAGUAUAGCUUUGGAAGCCUGGAUUGGUAACUAUAGAGAGACUUAGUAUUUAAUUGAUAAAAAUUCCCAUAACCCAAGGUCAAGAAAAUUUUAGAUCGUUAAAGACUUCAUUUUGUUUCGGCCAGAAAUGUUUGUUUCGAUCGAAGACUUGAACCAUUUCGAUUGAACCUGAUUAUGAUGCUUUACGUUAUGCAUGUUCCUCUUAAUCAAGAAAAGUUGAGGUGAUGAUUUUAUAUUUCUAUAUUGUAAGUUGAAAUAAUAAUUGGUCUGCUUGUUUCUGUAGCUUGAUAACAUGAAUUUUCCUUCUCAAGUUAAUUUAAUCAAUAAAGUAAUUCUUCAAAGAAAAUAUGCCCAUUCUAUAAUCAUUUUCUUAAUUAACAUGUUUUUUUCUUCACACUUCAGAGCAUGUUGAAACUAAUUGAUCGCUCGGCAGAGACUUUGGGUGAGAAGACAAAAUUUCUCGGUAAAUCCUCUGAAAAGGUAUGCAUAAUUCCGCAGUAUUAAAUAACCAAUGGUCAUAAUUUUUGUACAGGACUCUUUUCUUGUGGAGAUAAUUAAAAGUGGCUGAUGAUCCAGUUUGUAUAUCAUAGAGGGAGCAUCAAUUCCUUUUGUUUUCAGUGGCUAGGCAACACUUUCAGGGCAAAGUAAGGAAAUCUAUUUUAGGCAAGUAAAGCCAUGUAGAUGUAAUAGUUAACAUGCACUGACAAUAACUUUGUAUAAUGUCAGUGAACGAUACAAGAGGAAUCUGUUGACAAUCAUCCAAGAUAGAUGCUAAAAUUAUUAUGCAUGCCAGUUGCUUAAUAAUUUUCUUACACUGGUAUUGAAGAGGAAAAUGAAUAUGCAAUUUGUAUAUGUGCCAUGUGAGAAUUUGGAUAUCUAUCUAAGUAACAAGGAGAGUAUUGCCUCAUCUUUAGACAAUGAAUCUUGAGAAUUUGGAUAUUCAUGUAAAUGUUCAUUUGUUUGUAUUUUGAACUAUUAUGAGAAUCUUUUAUAUGCCAAAUUAGUAAUGCAAAUGUUCAGAUUAUUUUUUCUGUUGAUCGUGCAUUUGUGUCUGCACACAACCAUUGUAUAUCACUUCAUUCUGAUGCGCAAGUGUCUGUAGUUUAGAAGAAAAGAAAUAAUAAUGAUAUAUUAUUGCUUGAUUCAUGAUUAUUAAAUGAUUAUGGCUUUAAAAAACCUACAAAUUCCUUUUGUUGAUAUAUGAAUGUACCAAGUUUGCUAUAUCUUAGAUUACCAUUUCCAAGAUAACAAGUUCAAAUUUUUUCUUUAUCCUUUUCCUUCACAGUUGCAUUUUAAGUGUAAGAUUUGUUAUUAAUACCUGGUUUCCCGUCAUUAUGAUUUCAUAAACAGUGUAUGGGUAUGUGCUCUACUUUUGGAGGGCCUCCACGUGAAAGAAAAUUGUAACAAUUGAAUUCUUCCGGAUGGUAUGGUAUUUAAUUUAUUUUCUCAACCUCUUGUAAGACUAAUAUAUUUUCCUUUAGUAGACACGGCAUGGUGGGAAGGGUUUUUUAUUGAAAGAAUUCUGAUAUUUCUUAGACUUUGUUUUGGAAGGGGGUGCAGGGGUUUCUCAUCCAUAUAUGGUUACUUGAUUAGCUUUUGACUGUAUUGCCUCAAUCGUGCAAAGGAAGAUCCAAAUACAAACGAAAGAGAAUUGUUUAGACACCCAGAAGAUGGAAAUGAACUACAGAAGGAAGUUUUUGCUGCUUUAUUUAGUGCUCCUGAGAAAUCUGAUGAAUUUCCUGAAAUUACGGUGAAGACCAAGUGUGAGGUCCAAAGCAUUAGGAAAGGUGGUGAGUGAACUGCCGGAGCAAUUGGUACAGAAUACAAGGCUAAUGUGGUGGACUUGCAGCAAGAUAACCGGAACAGUACGUGCUCUUAUAUUAACUAUAUUGACUGGAUUUGCUAGUGUGUGCAUUUUCGUGUGUAUACUUUUGUAUUUAUGCAUAUUAAUGUGUGUAGGAUUCUUGAUUUCUGCCACUUAUUGGAGAACUAAUGGAAAGCUUUAUACUGGUAUAUCUGCAAUAACUAAUGGAAACUAUGAUAUUAAUAUUUUCUCUCGCUUGGAGAAUGCGUAACAGAUAUACUUUGUGGCUCUGGAAUACUAAAGAUUCUGCAAUAACUAAUGGAAACUAUGAUAUGAAUAUUUUCUCUCACCUGGAGAACUUUGUAACAGUUACACUUUGGGGCUUGGAAUGUCUAAAGAAUUUUGUCUGCUUCAGUUAGAUCAAAUAUCUUUUAGUUACAUACAUUAUAGAAAAGAUAAAGUUCUCUGAAUCUGAAAGACUUAAAAUUUUGCAUAUUUCUUGAUAGGGAAAUAUCUGUAGAUACUAGUUCAUGCAUUGUGGUAGCAUCAGUGUUAAAGAAAAACAGCAGUAAGUUAUUAUAUAGAAUUAGGUUCACUUGCUUUAAAUCCUGGUCUGGUCAACCAUAUGAACCUGUAAGUGGUUCUGUAGAAAUAUAUAUAUACGGGGAGAAAGUAGCUAAAUUUUCCUUUCAUUUAUGGGUUUGGUCAUUUUUUCCCCUUAUUUAUGUUUUCUCACACAUUUUUUAAAUGCCCCAGACAUGCAAUUUUGUAUGUGUCAAUUGCCUUUUAAGUUUUAAAAACCAUAAAGUAAGAAUACAGUUUCUUGUCAGGCUAUUGAUGCAUUUGCUCGGGGGGAUCAUGCUCGAGCAGGAAAACUUCUAGAACAGGUAAGGUUUCCAUCUACAGCCAUUUAUUGACAACAUAUAUAUUUUCAUUCAGCAAGCACUGUUAGCAUUCAAGAUGCUGGCAGAUUCACUUGAUUCUUAUUAGUUUGUUUAGUAGCAAAGCAUAUAACCUGUAUUUUAAAGCUAAGUUGUGCUAUUGAUUAUGUUAACUUUAUUGUUCACAUAAAGUGAUAUUGAGGAAAUAAUCAAUGUAGGAAAAUUAGGUGAAGAGAUGAUGUCAAAUCUUGAACCUCUUACAAAACUCCAAGUUCUUUACUUGAAGAAGCUACCAAAUUCGAACAGCAUCUACUGGAAGGCCUUGCCAUUCCCUGAUGUAUGCAGAAUUUUUGUAUUUAAAUGCCCAGAGCUUAAGAAGCUGCCACUGGAUCUUGAGAGGGCAGGCCAAGGUAAAAUUCUUAUCAAGGGAAAGAAAGAUGGGUGGAAACAACUUCAAUGGGAGGAUCAAGUAACUCAGAAUGCAUUGCUUUCAUUUUAAAAAUCAACCAACAAGUGAUUGAAGGGGGCAUCAUCAACGUAAUCAACAUGGAUGGAGAGAUUCUGGAGCAGAUCAGCGGGGUUUAGUACGACCUGUGGUGGUUUCUUUUUUGUGACUUUUUUGCCUUUCAUUUUUUCACUUCCUGUCAUAUUAUCAUUUCUUUGUCUGUGUUUCUAUUGCUAGUGUUGCUGCAUGCUUGCUGUCCUUGACAAAGUUAGCUAGUUUUUUUUGUUUAUUAAAUUUUGUAUGUUCGGUCGGGACAGUCACAAAGUACUACUUGUUCUAUAUGGGGGUGAUGUGAAUCAACUUUUCAAUUAUAUAUUCUGUGGUAAUUGUGAAUUCAAUUUCAUUUAUCUCCUGCAAAUUAUGAAGAAAGUGCAGAGUUACAAUAUGGAAAAGUUCACUGGCAAAUACUUUGUAAAAGCUUCGGAGUGAAACAGGAAAUGCACUUGCAACUAAGGACAAAUUGGUGGCCGGCUAAUGCAUUCAUUUUAGGGAAAAGGACACAGACCCUCAACGUUUUAAUAAGGGACAUAAAACUCCCUAAUAUUUUAAAAAAAAUACUCAAACCCCCAUUUGUUAAUAGUAAAUUCUAAGUUUAAAGUGUAAUUACCAUUAUACCUUUAUAGCAUAUUAAAAAAUAAUUAUUCAUUAUUCAAUUUAUUCUUAUAUUAUUAAUAAAAUUACGAAUAUAAUUUCAUUAUCUAAUUUUUUCAUUUAAUUUUUGUUAAAUUUUCUCUUCAAACUAAAUAAAUUUAAUCCAUUGCUUAAGAAUAAAAAUAAAUUAAAUUGAUUACUAAUAUAAUAAAAAUAACAUAUAUUUAAUAUAAAAAUAACAUAUAUUAAAUUAAAAUAAAUUUAAUUUAUAUAUAGAGAAUUGUUAUUUUUAAGAAAUUAUCAAUUUAAUUUAUAUAUAAGAAAUUAUAAGAAAUAACAUAUGGAGAAUUGUUAUUUUUAUUAUAUUAAUAAUCAAUUUAAUUUAUUUUUAUUUUUGAGCAAUGGAUUAAAUUUAUUUAGUUUGAAGAGAAAAUUUGAUAAAAAUUAAAUGGAAAAAUUGGGUAAUGAAGUUAUAUUCAUAAUUUUAUUAAUAAUAUAGGAAUAAAUUAGAUAAUGAACAAUUAUUUUUUAAUAUGCUAUAAGGGUAUAAUGGUAAUUGUACUUUAAAAUUAGAAUUUACUGUUAACAAAUAGGGGUCUGAGUGUCUUUUUUGAAACAUUAGGAAAUUUUGUGUCUCUUAUUCAAACGUUGGGGGUUUCUGUGUUAUUUUCCCUUCAUUUUAUGUACAUUCAUCUUUUUAAUUAUUGAAGAUAAGUGGUUCGUUGCUUUUGUUGUAGAUAAAAUUCAGACGACCUCAAUUGUGACAUGACAAUAUUUAAAACAUCUCUUAAAUUAUUAUAAAUUUAAUUUAUCUUAACUUUAUUGAAAAGAUAAAAGAAAAAUGUGGUGUAUGGAUAAAUUUUUUUUUAUCUUCUUAAUCAAAUGGAAUAAAUUAAAAUUUACAAUAAUUUAAAAUAUUUUAAAAAUUAUUAUUUCAUAAGAGAUUAAUAUGAAAUUAAUCGUUUUUACUUUUUUAAUGUGAAAGGACAAGAAAAGAGAAAGCAUGUGUCCCUGCUUUUUAGUUUUUAUUUUAUUUGAAAUCGGAGUUAUCCCAUAUACUUUACUAAUUUAGCUCUAACAUUACAAUGUUUUUAGGCUACACUUUUAUUUUUCUUUUUCCCCCUUUUUUUAUACAUGCAUGUGGAUUACUUUUCUCUAAGCUCCUUAAUAUUUAAGACAAAUCAUAAAAGCAAUUGAAGUAUAACAAGAUGAUCAAAACAUUUAACCAAAAAAAAAGAAAGAAAAAAGAAAGAAAACAUUGAAAAUGGAGAUGUUGAUUAAUUUAGAAGAGAUGCAAGCAAAAGAUAUUCCCAAAAAAAAGAAAAAAAGAAAAAAACAACGUUAGUUCAUCCAUGUCUGUCAAUGCGUUUUUUAUGGUUUUUUUUUUCCAGUUGUUUGUUGUAAUAGAUUGAUUGUAAAUUGAUAUGAAUUUGAUGUUGUAAUAUGUUCGCUUUUGUGGAAUUAAAUUUGAAUAUUCAAGAUUAUUCAAGUCUUAUCUAGUAUGUGUUCAAUUGUGUUGUCGAUAAUUUUGCAUUCGAAUAAUUUUUCACCUAAAAUAUUAGCAUGAGUAGUAGUCCUUGAAAUUUUGGUCAAAAUUAUUGUUAUUGUUUGUUUUAGAGGAAAUUUUUUUAUUAAAGCCUCGUUAACACUAUACCUUAUUAAGAUUAUAAGUUAGUGUCAGUGCAGGAUUUACAGCAACAAAUCUUGUCUAGCCACGUGUCAAAAGUACAAAUAAAUCAAGAGUAAGCACAUGACAUGGAUUAGGAUCCAAUAAGAUUUAAAUCCCAAGGAAAAGGACAAUUGUAUCCUAAAGUUUCAAUAAGAGAUACUGAGAUAUCUUUUGACUAAUGUUAUUUUUUUAGCUUUAUUAAUAAAAAGAUCAAAUAGUUUAUAACAAAUAAAAAUAUAGUAUGAAGCUAAAUGUGAUAAUAUAUACAUUUUACAUAAUUUCAAUAAAAAAAAUUUCAAUAAAAAACAUUUUAAUGUUUUACGAUCUAUUAGACAUAUUUUAUUAAAUUAAUAGGAAUUUUCUGAUAAAUAGCAACAUAAUAUUAAAAUAAAUUUAUAAAGAUUUAAAUGUAAAAUAAUUUUAGUAUAAUUAAUACGUGGGAUAUAUUUUGUAAAUUAUAAAAUUACUUAACCCAAUGAUUUUUAAAAAUCUUUAAAAUAAAUAAAAAUAAAUUAUUCACAUUUUGAUGUAAAUAUUUAAAACAUUUUUAUACAUUAGUCCACAAUUAUUUAUGUUAUAUUUGUAUUUAUUAGAAAUUUUGAAAGUCAAAUGUUUUUCACCUCUAUCUUAUUAGAAUUAUUGCACACAGAGAAAGAGCCAUAUAUGCUUUAUAGCUUUAAAAUCGAUUUGUUUUAUAGCUGGGAACAGAGAUGAUCAUUAUUAUAAGGAUUAAAAAAAAGAUAAAGAAUAUUAAUGAUUAGCGAAAUCUCUAUGGAAAUUGAAUUUAGUAAGAAAAAAUUGAGCUGAUUUUAGCGGUAUAGUAAUAUUUUAUAUAGAGAAAAGUAAAAGCUGCACCCAAGGUUAAGGGAAAUGGUCAAAACUCUUUUUUAAUCAUAAUACUCUUUUUCCUACAUAAUUUAAAAAUUUGACAUUAAUAUUUUAUAAUAAAUAAAAACAUAUAAUCCUAAAAUAAAUAAAAUAAUAUAUAUUUUAAAAUAAUCUCAAUAUUUAAAAUAUAUUUUAACAUUUUAUAGUCUAUCAGAUAUAUUUUAUUUUUUUUAAAGUAAAUUUUAUAAUAAAUACAAAACAUACUAUUAAAAUAGAUAUAAAAAUUUUAAAGUAUUUUGAAUAUUAUAUAAAAUAACUUUAAUAUUGUUAAUGCGUGAGAUGCAUUUUAUUAAUUAAAAAUUCUAUUUAACCCAAAGAUUUAUUUAUAAUAAAUUAAUAAUCAUAUUUUUGAAAUUAUUUUAAAUAUUAAAAAAUAUUUUAAUAUUACUAACUAUUAGAUAGACUAAACUAUUUAUAUUAUUUUCUAUUUAUUAUAAAAUUUCAAAGUUAAUCUUUUUAACUACUAUUCAAAAGAUAUUAUGAUAAAAACAGAAUUUUUCUGUUUUAUUAAAAAUUUAGAGUUUACACCUAUUUUUUCAAAUAUUCGGGGUGUAACUGUUUUAUUUAAAUAAAAUCUCAGUUAAAAAUGUACAGAGAAGAAAUUUCUGUUGGUAUUUUAGUCUUUUACCAAUUAUCACGAUUAGGCCUUGGCCUUGAAACAUUAAUUGUUUCACUUUUAGCGCUAGUGGCGUUGAAAGUUGUCAAGAAAAAGCAAGACCAUAUUCCACAAAAGCAGCUCUUUUAUUAAAGGCAAAGUAUAAAGUAGUCAAGAAUCGAAUAUCCUGUCGUCUACUCUUUUUUAAAUUCUUCUUUUAUUAUCUUUUAGAAUAGUUUUUGGUAAUUACAAUCAUUAUUCAGAGUUAUUGUUAUCUUCUGGGGCAGUCUCUGUUCAUCGAAGUCGUUACCUUUUUUUCAUGGAUCAGUUCCAGUGCCAAGCAGUAAUUUUCUUAGAACUCGGAUCUUUAAUUCGAGUUUCUUUGUGAAUUAAUAAUAAAAAAUUUUCAUUACACGCAAUUUAAGCUACGAAUUACUUUUUGCAAAGUUGAAUAUGAAAUUGGAGAAAUUAAAUAAUUUAGAAUGUUGGUAAAAAUUGACUAACAUAUCCCCAAUUACAGUAAAACCUCUCUACAGUCAUAACAUUAUAACAAAAUUAAUUUUAUUACUAUGUUGAGGUAAUAUAGGUUUAGUUACAAAAUUAUUGUUUUAAUAUGGUUAGUGUCAAGUGAUAUAAAGGUUAAGUAUGCAGUACAUUGAUAAUUAAAUAAUGAAGCGUGUCAAAUCUAACGUAUAUAUAUUAAUGAUAUAGAUAGACAUAGUUUUAAAAAACUAAUUAAUGUAUAUUUAUGUACUGUUAUGAAUAUGGAAAGUCAAGCCUACACUUUACAUUAUCCUUAAUUUUUUCUCUCAGUUAAAUUCUACAAAUAUUGUACAAUGAUUGGGUAAGAACUCUAAAUUAAGAAUAAAUUAUUGUCACAAAUAAUUUUAAAAAAUAUUUUAUUUCAUCUUAAACCUUUAAUGUAAGUAAAUAUAUAUAUAUGUGUGUGUGUGUGUGCAUAUUUUGCAAGGUAUAGAUAAUUGUUAGUAUAUGGAGACAAGUCUUUUAAGGUAGGACCUAGGAAAAUUUAUAACUUACUACAUUGGGGAGUUUUUAUUCCUUUUUAUAAUUGGCUCAUAUUGAUACAUUCUUACACAAAAUAUUACCAUUGACAUAUUUUACUACAAUUGGUUUAGAACAUUUGUUAGGAAAAAAAAAAGAAAAGAAAACAUUCAUUGGAUGUAGCUCUCCCUCGUAUGCUUUUUUCUCCAAAUAUUCCUGCGUCCACAGAAACAAGUCAGAGCACGCCGGUUGUUUUCCCGGCGUAAACCCUCUGACGCUCAAGUCAGAUAUGAAGGCUCUGGGAAUGCUUGCCACAGAUCUUAUGGUUUUUCUGUAGUUUCUAUUCUUUAGAGUUUCAUUUAUCUCUGAAUAUAAUCUCAAAAAUGCUAACCCUUUUACCUUCCUUGGCUACCUUUUUAUAGGCUUCCUCUGAAUCCCGGUCUUCCGUAGUCCACGCCCGUUAUUCUCCCCACCCUCGGAUGUGGAUGCCCCAUUAUCGCCAUUGUGGGCGAAUGGAGAUGGACUUCGUGCCUUGAUUCUCGGAUAGGAAUGCACGUCUUGCCAACUGUCGUUGACUGGGUCUCCUCGCCUCUCGACCUCUAGCCGGAAUGGCCUUAUGCCUCUAACAAGAGUUCGACCUCGUGAAUGGCAUACUCGCGGACGAGCCGAAUAUUUCUGCUCAUGUUCCCCUGCUACCUGGCUCUUACAGGACAUACCUGUUCGCAGAACUCCGCCAUCAAAUAUCUGCUCAUCACGUCUGGUCUCGUUGAAGUAUUUCCCUCAAACAACAUAUUUUACUACAAUUAGUUUAGAACAUUUGUUAGGAAAAAAAAAGAAAAGAAAACAUUCCUUGGAUGUAGCUCUCCUGACUAUUUAAAUCUUUUAAGGAAAAAAAGAAAAAAGAAAAACUGACACAUUCAAAUCUUGAAGCAAUUACAUUAAAACCUCUCCAUAAUGAUAGGAAUAAUCUCCAUUUAGUAAUAAAAAAUUUUGUUCGCAAUCUAGGCAGAGUUAUAAAUAAGAAUAAAAUCCUCAUUGUAAUAAGUUGUAUUUAUUAUGGAUCCCAUCCUAAGGAACUUGUCUCUAUAUAGUAAUAAUUAUUUGCAUAUUAUAAAUAUAUAUGUUGCAUUAGAUUAAAUGAACUUGUCUCCACAUACUACUUAGACAAUGAGAGAAAGUUAUUAAAGAGAACACAAAUAUUUAGAGAUUUUUAAGAUUACUUUGCAUGUUUAUAACAAUAAUACAUUGAUAUAUGUAUUAGUUUUUUGAUAUAUUAGAUUUGACAUGCUCUAUUAAUAAAUUAUUAAUACGAUGCAAACUUCAUCUCUCUAUCCUUGCAAUAAAAGUAACUAAGUUAUAACAAUAAUUAUUAAUAAAUUAUUAAUACGAUGCGUACUUCAUCUCUAUAUCCUUGCAAUAAAAGUAACUAAGUUAUAACGAUAAUUUUUGUAACUACAUGCUUAUUAGGUUUUAACUACUUCAUAAUAAUAAAUUAAUUUCGUCCUAAUAUUAUAAUUAUGUAGAGUUGUAGUGUAUAGACACACCCAAUUUAAAUAGUAAAUCAAAUAAAAUUGUCCCCACAAAAAAGAAAAAAGGGGUAAAGGAUUGUUAUUUCUUCAAACAUUAGGAGCACGUUUGUUCAAGUGCGAUGCCUUUCUUUUGAAGGCAACGUCAGUGGGUACCCAAUAGGACGUGUGUAAAUCUUUCCAAAAUUUCUCCGGUAUAACGGACAGAGAUCAUUACUUUUCUCUUCCAUAGACCACAGCAGCUUCAGUUAAUCAGACUCAAUCAAUUUUCUUGGUUUCUUCGCUUAUCAAAAUUCCAAAAUAUGGGUAGCAUAUUUCAAAUCACAUGCGAUGGUGCUUUUUUCAAUCGUUGCUUGGAUUGCUUUCUUGGAAAAGUAGCAAACACAAGUAAGCUCCAAGAUAACCUUGUUGCCUUGGAGACUGAAUUGGGAAAACUAAUCGUAGCAAAGAACGAUGUGAUGAUGAGGAUUGUCAAUGCUGAACGGCAACAACUGAGAACGCUGGACCAAGUGCAAGUGUGGCUUUCGAGGGUGGAAGCUGUUAAAACUGAAGCUGAUGAAUUGAUAAGACACGGCUCUCAAGAAAUUGACAAAUUAUGUGUUGGAGGCUACUGUUCCAAGCACUGCGCGUCAAGCUACAAGUUCGGGAAACAAGUGGCUAAAAAGCUACGGGAUGUGCAGACUUUAAUCGGCGAAGGAGUUUUUGCGGCGGUGGCUACUGAGGUGGUGCCUGAGAGAGCUCCAGAACCUGUAGCAGAUGAAAGACCCACUGUGCCAACAAUAGUAGGCUUGCAAUCACAACUUGAACAAGUUUGGAGAUGUCUUGUAGAAGAAUCAGUGGGAAUCAUUGGCCUAUAUGGUAUGGGCGGUGUUGGUAAAACUACACUAUUGACCCAUAUCAACAAUAAAUUUCUUGAGAGUCGAACCAGUUUUGAUUGUGUGAUUUGGGCCGUAGUUUCAAAGGACUUGCAACUCGAAAAAAUUCAAGAAGAUAUUGGGAAAAAGAUCGGUUUGGUUGAUGAUUCAUGGAAGAGUAAAAGUGUAGAGGAGAAAGCUCUCGACAUCUUCCGGAGUUUAAGAGAGAAGAGAAUUGUAUUGUUGUUAGAUGAUAUAUGGGAGCGGGUUGAUUUAACAAAAGUGGGCAUUCCACUUUCGGGACCAAAGAAUACUACCUCAAAAGUCGUAUUCACAACCCGUUUCAUCGAUGUUUGUGGUAGCAUGGAAGCUGACAAGAAGUUCCAAGUGGCAUGCUUAUCAGAAGAGCAUGCUUGGGAACUGUUUCGAAAAAAAGUUGGGGAAGAAACUCUUGAGAGUGAUCAUGAUAUCGUUGAGCUAGCCCAAACUGUGGCCAAAGAGUGUGGUGGUUUGCCACUCGCACUUAUUACUAUUGGUCGAGCUAUGGCCUGCAAAAGGACAGCCGAGGAGUGGAGACACGCAGUUGAAGUGCUAAGAAGAUCAGCUUCUGAGUUUGCAGGUUUGGGAAAAGAGGUGUAUCCUCUUUUAAAGUUUAGCUAUGAUAGUUUGCAGAAUGAGACGAUUAAAUCUUGUUUCUUAUAUUGUUGUUUAUAUCCCGAGGAUUAUGGCAUUCUUAAAUGGGACUUGAUUGAUUGUUGGAUUGGUGAGGGAUUCUUAGAGGAAUCUGACAGGUUUGGUGCAGAAAACCAAGGAUACUACAUUGUGGGCACUCUUGUUCAUGCGUGUUUACUAGAAGAGAUAGAAGAUGAUAAAGUAAAAAUGCAUGACGUUGUUCGUGAUAUGGCUUUAUGGAUAGCUUGUGAAAUUGAGAAGGAGAAGAGAAACUUUUUGGUUUGUGCAGGUGCUGGAGUAGGAGCGGUACCAGAUGUUGAAGGAUGGGAAAAUGUGAGAAGAUUGUCAUUGAUGCAAAACCAAAUUGAAAUUCUGUCAGAGGUUCCCACAUGCCCUCAUCUCCUCACUUUAUUUCUUGACUUUAAUUAUAAAUUGGAGAUGAUCACUGAUGGCUUCUUCCAAUGUAUGCCUUCUCUCAAAGUUUUGAAGAUGUCAAACUGUGGGCAUGUCAAAGUUUUGAAAUUACCUUUUGGGAUGUCAAAGUUGGGUUCACUACAACUUCUUGAUAUUUCACAUACCGGCAUAAGAGAGUUACCAGAAGAGUUAAAGUUGUUGGUAAAUCUGAAAUGUUUGAAUUUGAGGUGGACACAUAUGUUAAAUAAAAUUCCACGGCAGCUAAUAUCAAAUUCUUCAUGGUUACGUGUGUUGAGAAUGUUCGCUAUUGGCUUUGAAAAUUCUAAAGAACCAUCAGAAGACAGCGUUUUAAUUGGUGGGGGUGAAGUUUUAGUACAGGAAUUGCUCGGUUUGAAAUAUUUAGAGGUAUUGGAGUUGACCUUGCGAAGUUAUCAUGCUCUCCAUUCUUUUUUGAGCUCAAAUAAGUUAAAAAGUUGUAUUCGAUCUCUUUUCCUCAAUAAGCUGGGAGAUACAAAGUCGAUUGAUGCUACGGCUUUGGCAGAUCUAAAGCAUCUCAAUGAAUUAUAUAUUCUUUUUUUUNNNNNNNNNNNNNNNNNNNNNNNNNNNNNNNNNNNNNNNNNNNNNNNNNNNNNNNNNNNNNNNNNNNNNNNNNNNNNNNNNNNNNNNNNNNNNNNNNNNNNNNNNNNNNNNNNNNNNNNNNNNNNNNNNNNNNNNNNNNNNNNNNNNUCUUUCGCUAUACGGUUGUAAUGCUGUGGAAGAAAUAAUCAGCGUUGGGAAAUUUGCUGAGGUUCCUGAGAUGAUGGGACAUAUAAGCCCUUUUCAGAAUCUCCAAAAGCUUGAUUUAUCACAUUUGCCAGCUUUGAAGAGCAUCUACUGGAAGCCAUUGCCUUUCGCUCAUCUGAAAGAAAUGGUGGUGCAUUGGUGUGAUCGGCUUAAAAAGCUUCCGCUCGAUUCCAACAGUGCAAAAGAGCGUAAAUUUGUUAUUCGUGGAAGAGCAGACUGGUGGAACCGUCUUCAAUGGGAGGAUGAAGCCACUCAAAUUGCUUUCCAUUCCUGUUUCCACCUAAUGAAAUAUAAAUUCCUUAGCGGUGGUUGCAAAAUUUGAUUUCUAGUGAGUGCUUUUUUCUUAAACUCUUACAUUUAUUUCAGAUUCGUUUUUUGUCUCCUGCAAAUCACAAUUAAAUGCUGAAUUAUAUGGAGUCAAUGCUUUAGAAAAUUUUCAAGGCACUGCCAUUUCCUUUUUUCCAUUUUUUUUUGGGUCGAAUUGAUGCUCUGGCUUUUUACUUUUUGUUGUCAAAUUUUGCUCUGUUUUUUCAAGUUGAUGCUUGAAUAGUUGAAUUCAAUUAAUGCUCACAUAAAUUUGUUUAGUUGCCGUAAAAGGAUAUAAUUAGACUGAAGUACACACUUCUAGAAUGAAUACAAAAUGUUAAGUAUACUAGCCCUCUUUACAGAAAAUCAAAUGAAAAUCAAUUUUUUGGGGCUUUGAUUUUCUAUGGUCUAUUAUAUACUCUUUUUAAUAUCUUCUGUUCUAACUAUAACCAAAUCCUUUGUUCAAGGAUUUUUAUUUGGGGUAUUGAUAACUAUCCACCAAAAGAGUGAACACUUGGAUGCUGCUCAAGGAUCUCUAAUCAAUAGCUGGAAGCAACUGAGAAGGCGGUCGCUGCUGUUUACAAAGUGAUGCAGUAUUUGCCAUUCAUCUUAAUAAUUAUGAAGCUUUGGUAAAAUUUUCAAACAAAAUUGAACAUGUUGUUUGAGAUUUGGUUCAUGAUUUUGGAUGAAUAUCGUUGUUCCGUUUGAGUUGGAUGUGAAUUCAAAAUCUAUAUAUUCUUUGGUUUUCAAGUCUGAACUCAAUUUCUUUUUCUCAAGCAUGUUAUGCAGAAAUGAUUUUUACUAAAUCAUUUUUGAUGAAUUGUUUAAAUUAAACACUUGGAAUAAGAAUUGUAAACGUUUAUCAUAAGCAUGCUAAUAUGAUAAAUUGUUUUAUGAACGACUAAUUAAUUAAUCAAUUAAUAUUAAAUUAUAUAUUAAUCAAUUAGAUAUGCGUUACAUGUCAUGUUUAAAAACUAUUUAUUUAUAUUUCAAACAAAUUUGACUGGAUGUUGUGUAGGUAAUACUACAUAAUUUCAAAACAAAAAAAAGUAAUAAAAACACGUUAAAUUUUGUUUUUAUGAAGAAAAAUUUAAAAUUUUAUUAAAUAGGUGAAAAUAAUAAAUGGAUUCGUGUAUGGUUUGAGAUUCUUGACAUAAUUAUGAAAUAAGCCGGAUUCGACUUAGUUCAAUUUUGACGCGAUAAGAAGACGACACCACACAAACACACGACAAGAACCGUUACCUGAGAAGAUUGCCAUCAGGAAUUUUGAAAUUGAUUUCACUACAAUAUCUUAAUCUUUCAGAUACUCCCAUCACUGAGCUGCCAUAAGAGCUAAAAGCCUUGGUAAAUCUUAAGUGUUUGAACUGUACACAAAUUAUCUCUCUACAAUUCAAAAACAACUGAUUUGUUACUUUUCAAUGCUACAUGUUCUGCGAAUAUUGAGUUGUGGUUAUCUUGUUGAAAUAUCAGAAAAUAGAGUUCUAUUUGGUGGUAGUGAAUUGUUGGUUGGGGAGUUACCUAGUUUAAAACGUUUAAAUGUAUUAAGCAUCACCUUACAAGGUUUUUCUGCUGUCCAAAAACUUAUGAGCUCUCAAAAGUUUCAAAGCUGUACAAAAUGUUUGGAGCUUAUAGACUGUGAUGAUUCAAAGUCUUUUGCCUUGGCAGAGUUGAAGCAUCUCGAGAAACUAGUUUUUCGAAUUGUGGAAGAGUUUAAGUUCUGCUGUGUUGAAGUUGGAAAAGCUCAAGAAUGUUUUCGUUUGAACAGCUUUCCCCGAGGUAAUAUAAAGGCUUGUCAUAAAUUGAGGGACGUGACAUGGCUUGUAUUUGCUCCAAAUCUUACGGUUAUUCAAUAGAAAAAUAUAUGCAGAUGGAAGUAAUAAUCAGUGCAAGGAAAUUGGGUGAAGUUCCAGGGAUGAUGGCAGAUCUAAACCCUUUUGCAAAACUCCAGUAUCUUCGUCUGCGAGUUCUACCAAAAUUAAAAAGCGUCUAUUGGAAUGAGUCACCCUUUCCACAUGUCAGGGAAAUUAUUGUAUCUGAAUGCCCAAUUCUCAAGAAGCUUUCACUCGGUUUUAACAAUGCAAAGGAAUCUAAAAUUGUCAUUUAUUACAUGUUUAUAUCUAACUUUUGUUUUCCUUUAUGGUUAAAUUUUACUUUAUAUAUGUUGUUAUACGGUGACAUUCUCGCAUCAAUUGUUAGCUUUUUAAUUCUCUUCUCCCAUUAAUUGCCCUUCUGAUCAUGUAAGAUAUGCCGAUGUCAAAGAGUAGUAAGUUGGGAUACAAAUGUAAGAAUUAACCAGAUGACAUGUUGUUUUGAAGCUCUCGGAGAAGGACUAAUUAUGUCAUUCAAAGCAUCCAAUUUCGCUACUUUUUUUUUCAUUUGUUGCUUUUUCUAUUUUUAGAGAGCUUGAUUGUCAGUUGUCGUAAUGUAAUGUUUUAGUGUAGAAAAAUGAUAUUCGGCCAAGACAUCAAUAGGAGGGCACAUUGUGCAUGCACACUAGUGGAUGAUUUCGGCAUGCCGAAUCCAAUUAGUGUGGAUAACCCUUUAUAAGCAAUUGGCUUCUCUCAUACCAGAGCAAUGUAGAAUAUAUUUAUAAACUGUGGAUUACUCUUUAUUAGGCUUCUUCUAUACUCGAGCAAUGUGGAAUACCUUUAUAAGCAAUAAGCUUCUCCCCUACACUUUAUGUUAAUAAUAAUAAUAAUAAAAUAAAUCCAUUUUAAAAUAGACUUUUUUUUUCUUUUUCUAUAUAAACAAAAUGCAUUCUUCAAAUCAAUAGUGGGUGGAAGAAGUGAGUAGAGAAGAACUAGUCCCCUUUCAUUCCCCUAAAACCUCACCGAAACCUCUCUUGUGAACUUCUCAGAUUCUCUCUCAAUAUUUCUUAUGAUCUCGUUUUUGAUAGAAUCACUUCUUUUGCAUGUUGCAUUUGGUGUGUCUUUUUUGGGUAAUAUCUUAUCUGGAAUGCUGUCAUGAUCAAUAGAACAAGUAAUCAAUUUUUGGCUUGACGGAAGUCGAUUUAUUUAUUUACUAUUAUUUUUAUUUGAAAUUUUGUACAAUUGUGUUUCAUUCAUUUCUUUCCUUUUUUUUUAAUAUUUAUUAUGUAUAAUUGUGUUUCAUUUGAUAUUGAUCAUACUCUAGAUAACUAUGUGAUUGUAGCUGGGGAUUUUAAGUUUUGUGAAUUCAAGAAACUGUCAAAAUGCUAGUGAAAUUGGGACCUUUAUUCAUAAGCUUGUGGUUUUGAAAAGUAGCCCGGUUCAACUGAUGAAGUUCCUUUUUGGGAUUCUUUUUUUUCCUAGGCUGCAAUUCGGAUAUGUACCUGAUAGACAAUCUUUUGUGGGUUUAGCAUAUCUUCUCGGAUUUUGUCUUUUAUUCCUCGAUUUUAUAAUUACACACCAUGAAUGUUGAGUGAUUGUAUAGAAAAUUUGUGUUAUAACCAAAGCAUUGUGAAGGAGUUAAGUUAGUGGCUUCUGUUUUAUUGGCAUUGAUUGGGUAGAUUACGUGUUACAGUGAUUCAAUUUGUGAUCCAAACUUUGUUUAAAUUUCUGUUUUCCCAAAUUAUUUAUGUCAAAUUCAAAACCAGAAGCAUGUGCUGAUUUUUUCUUUUUGUAUUAAUCUGUGAAGUUUAUUUGGAAAGGAAGUAUCUGGGUCUAAUGGAUUAAAUUAUGUAAGUGGCAGAAAUUCCUACACACAUAAAUAUGCAUAAAUACAAAAGUAUACACAAAAAAAUGCACACACUCAUACAUCCAGUCAAUAUAGUUAAUGUAAGAGCACAUACCGGUUUGGUUAUCUUGCUGCAAGUGCACCGCAUUAGCCUUGCAUUCUGGUGCCAACUCCUCCGGCGGUUCACUCACUACCUUUCCCAAUGCUUUGGACCUCCAUUCGGUCUCCAUCAGAUUUCUCAGGAGCACUAAAUAAAGCAGCUAAAACUUGCUUCUGUAGUUCAUUUCUGUCUUUCGGGUGUCUAGGCAAUUUUCCUUCGUCGGUAUUUCGAUCUUCCUUUACAUGACUGAGGAAAUACAGUCAAAAGCUAAUCAAGUAACCAUAUAUGGAUGAGAAAUCCCUCCACCCCCCUUCCAAAACAAAUUCUAAGAAAUAUCAGAAUUCUUUCAAUAAAAACCCUUCCCCCCAUGCUGUGCCUGCUGAAUGAAAUAUAUUAAUCUUACGAGAAGUUGAGAAAAUAAAUUAAAGAACAUACCCUCCGGAAGAAUUCAAUUGUUGCAAUUUUCUUUCACGUGGAGGUCCUCCAAAGUUAGAGCACAUAUCCGUACACUGUUUAUGAAAUCAUAAUAACAGGGGACCAGAUAUUAAUAACAAAUCUUGACACCUAAAAGUCAACUGUGAUGAAAAACAUUAAAAAGAAUAUGAACUUGUUAUCUUGGAAGAAGAUAAUUUAAGAUAUAGCAAACUUGGCACAUUCAUAUAUGAACAGAAGGAAUUUGUAGACGUUUUAAAGCCAUAAUCGUUUAAUAAUCAUGAACCAAGCAAUAAUAGAUGAUUAUUAUGUUGGGUGCAAGCGGAAGUGCAGAAAAAUUUUUAUUUAAGAUCAGAGUAUUUUGCUGGAAAUUUCUGAAACUUUAUUGCUUAAUUCAUUUUUUCGUUUCUCUCUUACUUUUCAUACAACCAGAGUUCUAUAUUUAUAUGCAUUAUAGACAACUCUAGAGAUUACAUUAAUCAUGCUUUACAUUUCCAAAGCCACAUUGCAAACAUCAAUUCUACCCUUUACUUCACGUUGAAAAACAAACCAAAUAAUCCUUCAAACUUCUUGCUCAAUUUACUAGAUUACUAAUUAUAUCUCAACACCCCCUCUUAAUUAGUAAUCUUCAAUUGCUUCUUGAAUUUUUCAAACUUCUCAAUAAUGAUUGCUUUGGUCAGAAAAUCUGCUGGCUGCUCAUUAGUGCUGAUAAACUCCAUAUUAACUUCUCCUUUGCUUACUAAGUCACGGAUGUAGUGAUAACGCAGCUCAAUGUGCUUAGAUUUAGCAUGAAAUACGAGGUUCUUUGUUAGAGCAAUGGCUGACAUGUUGUCACAAUAAAUUGUUGUUGCAGCAUCUUGAUUGAACUGCAAAUCCUUGAGAAUUCUUCUAAGCCAAACGGCUUCACAAGCUGAUUCAGUUGCUGCAAUGUACUCUGCCUCGGCUGAGGAUAAAGCUACUGACUUCUGCUUCCUUGAGCUCCAUGAAAUCACAUUUGUACCAAGACAAAAUAAAUAACCUGAUGUGCUUUUUCUGUCAUCAAGGGAACCAGCCCAGUCACUGUCAGUAAAACCAACAAGCUUGCAAUUGUCUUCUUUUUCAUACAUGAUCCCCUGCUUUUUUGUUCCUUGAAGAUACCUUAAGAUUCUCUUUGCUGCAAUAUAAUGGGACUUCCUUGGAUCAUUCAUAAAUCUAGAAAGAACACUAACUGAGUGCAAAAUGUCAGGUCUUGAGUUGGUUAGAUAAAUCAACGAACCAACCAAGCUUCUAUAGAUUCUUGCGUCAGCCUUUUCUUCUUUUUCAUCAUGUUUCAAUUUUUCAUUCAAACCCAUAGGAGUAGGUGCUGGUUUGCAUUUGAACAUGUGGAAUUUCUUCAACAAAUCUUCUACGUAUUUUUCUUGACAAAAGAAGAUUUUUCCUCUGGCUUGCUUCACUUGAAUGCCAAGAAAAUACUUCAUUAAGCCCAAGUCAGUCAUCUCAAAUUCAUCUAGCAUGCUUUUUUUAAACUCUUCCACCAUUUUCAGAUUAGUGCCACAAUAAAUUAGAUCAUCAACAUAAAGGCAAACAAUAAGGAAAUCAGUACCUUCCUUUUUGACAUAAAGAGAAGGUUCACUUGAGCUUCUGUCAAAUCCAUUUUUAACGAAAUAUCUAUCAAUUCUGCUAUUCCACGCUCGAGGGGCUUGCUUCAAGCCAUACAAGGCUUUUCGGAGUUGAUAAACUUUGUUUUCUUCACCUUUCACUUCAUAUCCUUUAGGUUGCUCAACAUAAACCUCUUCUUCAAUUUCACCAUUUAGAAAUGCCGAUUUUACAUCUAGUUGAAACACAUGUAAUUCCAUUUGGGCUGCCAAGGCAAGAACAGUUCGAAUAGUCUCCAUUCGAGCUACGGGAGCAAACGUUUCUGUAAAAUCAACUCCAGGCAGCUGAGAGUAUCCUUUGGCAACGAGCCGCGCCUUAUAUUUUUUAACUGAACCAUCUUCAUUGUACUUGAUUUUGAAGAUCCAUUUCAGCCCAAUUGUUUCUUUUCCAUUUGGCAAAUUAACCAUCUCCCAAGUUUUAUUUUUCACAAUGGUGGCCAUUUCCUCGUUCAUUGCUUGGAUCCAAUUUUCAUUUCUUGAGGCCUCCUCAAAGUCUUGAGGCUCACAAGAAAAUAAAGCAAGUUCACAUGACUCAUAAAUUUCUCUCAUUGACUUUAUCUUCCUUGGAGGGCUUUCAUCAUCCGAAGAACUUUCUGCUGCUGAAUUUGGAGAAUUUGGUUCCAAAUUAUUUUGCUGUGAAGAAUUUGGUGGAGAUACAGGAGCUUCGAAAAAGCUAGAUGCUUGAGAUUGAUCUUUUUCCCACUGCCAAGCUGAUGCCUCAUCAAAUACAACAUCUCUUGAGAUAACAAGCUUAUUUGUUGUAGGAUUCAACAACCGAUACCCUUUAGACUCAUCACUAUAGCCAAUAAACAAAUAUUUUUCACCUUUUUCAUCAAACUUCUCUCUGUUUUGAGCUAGAAUAAGAGCAUAAGCAAUACUCCCAAAAAUCUUCAAGUGAUCAACAGUUGGCUUUCGGUUGUGCCAAGCUUCAAAUGGAGUUUUGUCUCUAACAGCUUUUGUAGGAGACCUGUUGAGGAUGUACACAGCUGUAUGACAUGCUUCUGCCCAUAAGUUGUUAGGAAUGCCUUUGCCUUUUAACAUGCUUCUUGCCAUCUCUACAAUGGUACGGUUCUUCCGUUCUGCAACUCCGUUUUGUUGUGGACUUCGGCUGACAGUAAGUUGUCUUUGAAUUCCAUUAUCCCUGCAAUAAUUCAUGAAUGGAGUGUAGAUAAAUUCACCACCACGAUCAGUUCUCAAGGUCUUCAUUUUGCAUCCACUUUGCCUUUCUGCAAGAGCUUUAAACUGAAGAAAAGUUGAGAAAGCUUCUGAUUUUUCAUUCAAAAAAUAAAUCCACAUCAUCCUUGUAUAGUCAUCAACAAAAAGAAUGAAAUAUCUCCUGUUAUUGAGAGAGAGAGUCCUUGUAGGACCACAAAUAUCAGCAUGCACCAACUCCAACGGAGCUUUGGCUCUCCAUGAAUUUUUAGGAAAUGGAAGUCUAUGCAUUUUUCCAUAUAUACAGCCCUCGCAAACUUUUUCAUAUCUUCCAACAUCAGGUAAGCCAAUCACCAUGUUCUUUUGCUUGAGCAAAUUCAGCCCUUUAUAGUUUAAAUGACCAUAUCUGAGAUGCCAUAAAUUUGACAAAUCUGAAUUUUCAGUUUUGAGAGCAACAUUCUCAUCAAGUGGCAUAACAAGAGGAAAAACUUUGUUCUUUGACAUUUCAACAACGGCCACUGUAUGAUUAUUAGUUUUAUCAAUGAUUUUGCAUUUUUCAUCAUCAAAAUAAAUUGAAAAACCCUUUUGAAUUAGCUGCCCCACACUCAAGAGGUUUUGAGUUAAAUUUGGAACAUAAAGAACGUCAUAAAUGAGCUUUUUGUUACCUCCCUUUGUAUGGACAGCAAUAGUGCCUUUUCCCACAGCUUUCUGCAUCUUUCCAUCUCCAAGCUUCACUUGCGAAUUAAAACUUUGGUCAAGGUUGAUGAAAAUGUCACGUUCUCCAGUCAUGUGGUUGCUACAACCGCUAUCCAAGUACCACAAAUUAUAUGAUUCACGUUCAGCACCUUUACUUGAAUAAAACAAGUAAUCUCCAUCACAUUCUUUUGUAAAAUUUGCCUCAUUUUUGCCUUUCUUAUUUUGAUACCAGCAAUCCCUUUGAGAAUGGUUAGGAAUGCGACACCUUGUGCAUUUAUAACGACAAUCUUUUGAUUCAUGAUUAGACCGAUUACAAAUGAUGCACUGAGAAUCUGAAUUUUGCUGUGAAUUCCCUCUGUCAUUUUUCCACUUGUUGCGGUUGUCGUUCUGUUCUCUUUGCCCUAUGCCACGCUGCUCGUUUCUUUGAGACGAGCCUCCGUUCUUCUGGUCUUUCUUGCUGCUUUUAUUCUGAUCUGAAUUAUUAAUCUUUGACUGAAAAGCUUGCUCUGUAGGCUGACUUGAAGGUCGAUUGAUUCUUUGCUCAUGAGACCGUAAUGAUCCUGACAAAUCUGAAAAAGUCAUCUUGGACAAAUCCUUUGAUUCUUCAAUGGCUGCUGCUACAUGAUCAAACUUUGGAGGAAGACAUCUCAGCACCUUUUCAUUCACCUUCUUGUCUUCAAUGGAGUCCCCACAACCUUUAAUCUGGUUCACAAUCUCAGUAACUCUACUGCAAAAAUCCUGAAUUCCUUCUCUGUCUUUCAUUGAUAAAUUAUCGAACUCUUUCCACAAAGUCUGUAACUUGAUGGUGACUGCCUUUUCAGAACCUUGAAAUUCUUGUUUUAGGAUUUUCCAAGCAUUUUUGGCCUUUUUGACACCAAAUAUUCUGGGGAAAAUUGACUUACUAACACCUUGCUGGAUAUAUCGAAGUGUCGUGGCAUUUCUCUGUAUGUUUUCUUUGUACUGCUGUUGAUGUGCUGGAGUCCAAUCUGAAGAACUUGCAGAUUCUGGUGGUUCAGCAUAUCCAUCUUCAACAACAUCCCAUAAAUUUUGAGAGAGGAAAAAGGUUUCCAUUUGAUUACUCCAAUAUUCAUAAUGUACCCCUUCAAAUAUUGGAACUUGACUGGGAGCAUAUGAGAAUAAUGUGGGUAGGGUAUUUGAUGUCAUUUUGAGGGUGUUUUGGAAAAGCUCUGAUACCAAAUUUGUUGGGUGCAAGCGGAAGUGCAGAAAAAUUUUUAUUUAAGAACAGAGUAUUUUGCUGGAAAUUUCUGAAACUUUAUUGCUUAAUUCAUUUUUUCGUUUCUCUCUUACUUUUCAUACAACCAGAGUUCUAUAUUUAUAUGCAUUAUAGACAACUCUAGAGAUUACAUUAAUCAUGCUUUACAUUUCCAAAGCCACAUUGCAAACAUCAAUUCUACCCUUUACUUUACGUUGAAAAACAAACCAAAUAACCCUUCAAACUUCUUGCUCAAUUUACUAGAUUACUAAUUAUAUCUCAACAUAUUAUUCCGUUUCUUCUAAGCUACGCAUACUUGCACAUCAGAAUAAAGUGAUAUACAAUGGUUGUGUGCAGACACAAACGCAUGAUCAACAGGAAAAAUCAUCUGAACAUUUGUAUUACUGAUUUGGCAUAUAAGAUUCUCAUAAUAGUUCAAAAUACAAAUAAAUGAAUAUAUAUAUAUUCCCCACCGGAAUCACCCCCUGGAUCCUCACUCAAGGUGUCUUCCGAGCCAGAAGAUCCCUCCUCACCACUAUUUCCGCUCGUGGAGGUUGUUUGGGGGGACAUCCUCCUAGCGCUAGUCCCAACACUAGACCUAAUGGGUUCUAAGGGGAUCCCGGGGUCAAAAGCAGGAUCGGUGAGCAGACUAGACAAGAAACCUAAUUCGUCGUCAUCAAUCUCAACGAUUUUCUCUUUACCCUUCGACAUUCCCUAAACUAUAAUCAGAACACCACCACCAACUACAACCCCAAGCAAAGCACAGAGAAAAGAAAUUAUCUACAACUAACCAAGACCGAGAAAAUAGAAGAAAUACCUGAAGCAGGGAUUCGAUCAGAGAGAGAUAGGGAUGAAAGCUUUAAUGCCGAGGUUCAUUCGCCGGAGAGACAAGAAGGGAGAAAAUGACGAGUUCGUGUUUGAGGAUUUUGGGUUUUCUUACUGAGAAGCAAACUCUUGGGCUGCCAGCAUUUAAUGACACAUAUUCCGAGAAUCUUGCAACCGUAGGUUUGAAAUUCAAAUGGAGGGGUGGAUUUCUGCCACAUCACUUCAUCUGCAAUUAAAUGCGACACGACUCUUGGCAGUCUUUUCCAGUCCCACGCGAGCAAGAACCGAUUGAGUUUCUACUGCUGGUCCAUUACAUUACCCAACACCAGAAACUGGGGGACUGGUGUUUGAGGGAAAUACUUCGACGAGACCAGACGUGAUGAGCAGAUAUUUGAUGGCAGAGUUCUGCAAACAGGUGUGUCUUGUAAGAGCCAGGUAGCAGGGGAACAGGAGUAGGAAUAUUCUGCUCGUCCACGAAUAUGCCAUUCACGAGGUCAAACUCCUGUUAGAGGCAUAAGGCCAUUCCUGCUAGAGGUCGAGAAGCGAGGAGACCCGGUCAACGACAGUUGGCAAGACGUGCAUUCCUAUCCGAGAAUCAAGGCACAAAGUCCAUCUCCAUUCGCCCACAAUGGCGAUAAUGGGGCAUCCAUAUCCCGGGGGGGGGAGAAUAAGGGGCGUGGACUACGGAAGAUCGGGAUUCAGAGGAAGCUUAUAAAAAGGUAGCCAACGAAGGUAAAAGGGUUAGAAUUUUUGAGAUUGCAACUAAGAAAAGAGAGCUCUAAGAACUGAAACUAAAGAGAAGCCAUAAGAUUCGUGGCAAACAUUCCCAGAACCUUCAUAUCUGACUUGAGCGUCGGAGGAUUUACGCCGGGAAAACGACCGGCGCACCCUGACCUGCUUUUGUGUUCGCAUGAAUUUUUGGGGAAGAAACCUUACGAGGAGAGAUCCUGGUCAUGGUAGAGUUGGUCGAGCAGAGGUCCUGGUCUUGGUAGAGAAGGCAACCAGAAUCUCGCAUCAACAAUUAUUUUACUUGAAAUUAUGUACAAUUGCAUUUCAUUCAUUUCUCUCUCUCUUUUUCUUUUUUCCCCCCAUAUAUUUUUUAUGUAUAAUUGCGUUUCAUUUAAUAUUGAUCAUACUGUAGGUAACCAUGUGAUUGUAGAUGGGGAUUUCAAGUUUGUUGAAUAUUCAUGUAAGUGAAGUAACCGUCACAAUACUAGUGAAAUUGGGAGCUUUAUUCAUGAGUUUGUGGUUUUGAAAAGUACCACAGUUCAGCUGAUGAAGGCUUCUUUUUGGGAUUCUUCUUUUCCUAGGCUGCAAUUAGGAUAUGUACAUGAUAGACAAUCUUUUGUUGGUUUGGCAUAUCUUCGCUGAUUUUGUCUUUUAUUCCCCAAUUUUAUAAUUACACACCAUGAAUGUUGGGUGAUUGCAUAGAAAAUUUGUGUUAUAACAAAAACAUUGUGAAGGAGUUUCUGUGCUAAUAGUUAGUGGCUUCUGUUUUAUUGGCAUUGAUUGGGUAGAUUACGUGUUACAGUGAUUCAAUUUGUGUUCCAAACUUUGCUUUAAUUUUCUGUUUUCCCCAACUAUUUAUGUCAAAUUUAAAUCCAGAAGCAUGUACUGAUUUUUUCUUUUUGUAUUAAUUUGUGAAGUUUAUUUGGAAUGGAAGUAACUGGGUCGGGUCUAAUGGAUUAAAUUAUGACAUUGAGGGGAAGGCACUAAAAGGGUUUGCUUGACACAUUUGGUUCUGUGUCUGCAAGAAAUAGCUUUUGCUUAUUGCAAUGCAGGGGGAAAUCCCGAUUUGGCUGGUGAAUUUCUCUGCAACAAACGGGCAAACACCUUGACUUCUUCUGUCCAUACUUCUGCUGGGGAGGCAAGGGGUAAAGAGUCUUCAAAAUCAUCAAAUAGUAACAUCUCUGAGAAUUCAUUUUAUGGAAAUGGAAAAUCUAGAGCUUCUAAUACAAAAUGGUAUCUGGUAUCAGGACGUACCGUUUCAAGUUUUCUUGGUAAAGAUUAUGUUAAACCUGCACAGCCAGCUAAUGGCACUUUUCUGGCAUCAAAGCCAUUGAAGUUGGAUCCAAGGGAGUUUCGCAUUUCUGCACUUUCAGAGAAGAAACUAAACCGAAACAAUCAAAGGAUGACCAUUUGCAGAAGGAUAUGGAAGAUUUUCUGUUUAAAUUGCUAGGAGAAGGGUUCCAGCUGUACAGGGAUGUGAUUCAGAUGGUUCAUGGUAACGUCUUAAAUAUAUUGAUGCCAAUUUAAUACAUAUUGUCCUUUUCAAUGUUCUUUCUUUCUUUCUCCUCUUUUUAUUCUUCUUCUUCUUCUUUUUUCUUUUCAUGUGCAUCUGAUCACUAAUUUGGUAUUAUUCUUAACUUGCAGAUAGUUGUGGAUAUGAUAUGCAAAAAGGUAAGGACUAUAUCUUCUUGAUGGAGGCCUCUGAUUUUUUAAAUCGCAUUUUCCUUUGUGAUUGAUAUAUCAUACCAAAGUCAAGUCUUAAAUACUGCUGUCAUAUGUUAAGGUUCAACUUCCAUUUUGAUUAACGUCGAUUUGCUACUGCUUCCAAAAGUGAGAAUGAGAUACUUUGGUUAAUUUCAGUAGUUGAACCCAAUAGAGUACUUUAUUUAGAUCUUCAUGGUUCAAAGGCCUGAAAAAACUUGCCGGUGUUUGCAAAAUGACAUUCUGUGCUUUUAUUUAGACUUAUUAUUAAAGACAACAUUUUGUUUCAGCCAAAAAUGUUUGUUUCGAUUAAAGACUGAUUUUAUAUUUCUAUUUUGUAACUUGAAAUAAUUGGUCUGCCUGUUUCUGUUGCUUGAUAACAUGAAUUUUUCCUUCUGAAGUUAAUUUGAUCAAUAAAGUAAUUCUUCGGAGAGGAUAUGCCCAUUCUAUAGUCAUUUUCUUAGCUAACAUGUUUUUUCUUCACUCUUCAGAGCAUGUCUAAACUAAUUGAUCGCUCAGCGGAGACUUUGGGUGAGAAGACAAAAUUUCUUGGUAAAUCCUCUGAAAAGGUAUGCAUAAUUCCCGAGUAUUAAAUAAUCAUUGGUCAUAAUUUUUGUACACGACUCUUUUUUUGGAGAUCGUUAAAAGUGGUUGAUGAUCUAUUUUGUAAUAUCAUAGAGGGAUCAUGAAUUCCUUUUCUUUUCUGUGGCUAGGCAACACUUUCGAGCCAAGCUAAGGAAAUCUAUUUUAGGUAAUGUGAAAACCAGUUGUAGGAUGUAAUAGUUUAUUAUGCCCUGCCAAUAACUUUUUGUAUAAUUGUCAGUUUAAUGAAUACAAGAGGAACUCUGUUGGCAAGUUCAUCCAUGAUAGAUGCUAAAAUUAUUUAUGCAUACCAGUUGCCUUAACUAAUUUUUCUCAACACUGGUAUUGAACAGGAAAAUGAAUAUGCAAUUUGUAUAUUGUGCCAUUGUGGAGAAUUUGGAUAUUCUUAUUUAAGUAACAAGGAGAGUAUUUGCCUCAUCUUUAAACAAUGAAUCUUUGAGAAAUGAGGAGUGGGUGAUUGGCAGUGUCUUCAUGUAAAUGUUCAUUUAUUUGUAUUUUGAACUAUUAUGAGAAUCUUUGUAUGCCAAAUUAGUAAUACAAAUGUUCAGAUGAUUUUUCCUGUUGAUCAUGCGUGUGUAUCUGCACACAACCAUUGUGUACCACUUUAUUCUGAUGCGCAAAUAUCUGUAGUUUAGAAGAAAAGAAAUAAUAAUCAUAUAUUAUUGCUUGGUUCAUGAUUAUUAAACGAUUAUGGCUUUAGAAAAUCCACAAAUCCUUUGUGUUCAUAUAUGAAUGUGCGAAGUUCGCUAUAUCUUAGAUUACCUUCUUCCAAGAUAACAAGUUCAUAUAUUUUUUAAUCCUUUUUCAUCACAGUUGAAUUUCAAGUGUAAGUUUUGUUAUUAAUAGCUGGUUUCCUGUUAUUAUGAUUUCAUAAACAGUAAGAGGAUAUGUGCUCUACUUUUGGAGGGCCUCCACAUGAAAGAAAAUUGCAACAAUUGAAUUCUUCCGGAGGGUAUGGUAUUUAAUUUAUUUUCUCAGCUUGUUGUAAGACUAAUAUAUUUCCUUCAGUACGCACGGCAUGGUGGGAAGGGUUUUUAUUGAAACAGUUAUGAUAUUUCUUAGACUUUGUUUUGGAAGGGGGUGGAGGGAUUUCUCAUCCAUAUAUGGUUACUUGAUUAGCUUUUGACUGUAUUGUCUCCGUCGUGCAAAGGAAAAUCCAAAUACUAACGAAGGGGAAUUGCUUAGGCACCCAAAGGACAGAAAUGAAUUACGGAAGGAAGUUUUUGCUGCUUUAUUUAGUGCUGCUGAGAAAUCUGAUGGAUUUCCUGAAAUUACGGUGAAGACGGAGUGGAGGUCCAACGCAUUAGGAAAGGUGGUGAGUGAACCGCCGGAGGAAUUAGUACCAGAACACAAGGCUAAUGUGGUGCACUGGCAGCAAGAUGACCAGACCUGUAUGUGCUCUUAUAUUAACUAUAUUGGCUGGAUUUGUGAGUGUGUACAUUUUUGUGUGUAUACUCACUUUUGGAUUUAUGCAUAUUAACGUGUGUAGGAUUCUCGAUUUCUGCCACUUACUGGAGAACUAGUGGAAAGCUUUAUACUGAUAUAUGUGCUAUAUAACUAAUGGAAACUACAAUAUGAAUAUUUUCUCUCACCUGGAGAACAGUGUAACUGAUAUAAUUUGUGGCUCUGGAAUACUGAAGAUUCUGCAAUAACUAAUGGAAAAUAUGAUAUGAAUAUUUUUUCUCACCUGGAGAACUUUGUAACAGAUACAUUUUGUGCUGGAAUGUCUAAAGAAUGCUUCAGUUUAGAUCAAAUAUCUUUUAGUUAGAAAAGAUAAAAUUCUCUGAAUCUGAAAGACUGAAACAUUUUGCAUAUUUCGUGAAAGGCAAGUAUCUGUAGAUACUAGCUCAUGCAUUGAGGUAAUAUCAAUGUUAAAGAAAAACAGCAAUAAUUUAUUAUACAGAAUUAGGUUCACUUGCUUUAAAUGCUGGUCUGAUCAACCAUAUCAACCUGUAAUGGUCCUGCAGAAAUAUAUAUACGGGGAGAAACUAGCUAAUUUUCCUUUCACUUAUGGGUUUGGUCUUUUUUUUCCCCUAUUUUUCAGCUUUCCUUCUCCUGAAGUAUGUUAACAAUUGCAGAUAAUGACGAAGAGGACCGCUUCCAGGCUCUUUGUAGAGCUGUGAUGGAAUAUAGGGGCACAAUGAAAGAAUAUUGUAAGGCUGUAUGUACUUUCUCUCAUGUCAUUUAUGUUUUCUCACACAUUUUGUAUAUGCCCUGAACAUGCAGCUUUGUAUGUGUCAAUUGCCUUUUACGUUUUAAAAGCCAUAAAGUAAGAAUACAGUUCCUUGUCAGGCUAUUGAUGCGUUCGCUCAGAAGGGUCAUGUUCAAGCAGGAAAACUUCUAGAACAGGUAAGGUUUCCAUCUACAGCCAUCCAUUGACAGCAGAUAUAUUUUCAUUAAGCAGACACUGUUAGCAUUCAAGAUGCUGGCAGAUUCACUUGAUUCUUAUUAGUUUGUUUAGUGGCAAACCAUAUAACCUGUAUUUCAAAGCCAAGUUGUGCUAUUGAUUAUGUUAACUUUAUUGUUAACAUAAAGUGAUAUGGAGGACAUAAUCAAUGUAGGAAAAUUAGGUGAAGAGAUGAUGUCAAAUCUUGAACCUCUUACAAAGCUCCAAGUUCUUUACUUGAAGAAGCUGCCAAAUUUGAAGAGCGUCUACUGGAAGGCAUUUCCAUUCCCAGAUGUAUGCAGAAUUUUUGUAUUAAUGCCCAGUUCUUAAGAAGCUGCCACUGGAUUUUCAAGGGGCGGGCCAAGGUAAAAUUCUUAUCAAGGGAAAGGAAGAUUGGUGGAAAGAACUUCAAUGGGAGGAUCAAGCAACUCAGAAUGCAUUGCUUCCAUUUUUCAAAUCAACUGACAAGUGAUUGAAGGGGGCAUCAUCAACAUCAUCAACUGGGAUGGAGAGAUUAUGGAGCAGAUCAGCAGGGUUUGUAUAUGAUCUUUGGUGGUUGCUUUCUUUUGUGAUUUUUUUUUUCUCAUUUUUUUCCCUUCCUGUCAUUUUAUCAUUUCUUUGUCUCGUUUUCUAUUGCUGAUGUUAGUGUAUGCUUACUGUUGCUUGACAAAGUUUGCUUGCUUCUUGUUUAUUAAUUUUUUUAUGGUCACAAAAUAUUACUUGUUCUAUUUGAGAGUGAUGUGAAUCAAUUUUCAAUUAUAUAUUUUAUGGUCAAUGUGAAUUCAAUUUCAUUUGUCUCCUGCAAUUAUUUAAAAAAUGCAGAGUCAUAAUAUGGAAAAGUCGACCGGCAAAAACUUUGUGAAAGCUUCGGAGUGAAACAGGGAAUUCACUUACUAACAGGGAAUUCACUUACUACUAAGGACAAUUGGUGGCGAGCUAUUCCAUUCAUUUUAUGUCCAUACAUCUAUUUAAUUAUUAAAGAUAAGUGGUCCAUUUGUAAAUUUCAGAUUGUGUCUCUCUGAAAAUAACAAUAUUUAAAAUGUCUCUUAAAUUAUUAUAAAUUUUAAUUCACUCUCGAUUUAAAAUGGAACAUGCUGAUGAAAUUUUUUUUCUUCUUAAUAAAAUUGAAAUAAAUUGUGUUUGCAGUAGUUUGAAAUAUUUUAAAGAUUAUUAUUUUAUAAGGGAGUAAUAUGAAAUGAAAUUUACUUUUCAUGCGUGAAAUGUUGAAAAAGGACACAGCAAGUGUCCCUGCUUUUAUUUUAUUUCAAAGUGGAGUCAUCUCACAUACUUUAACUCUAUCGUUACAAUUUUUCAGGUUACAUUUUUAUUUAUUUAUUUAUUUUCUUUUUUACACAUGCAUGUGGGUUACUUUUCCGUAAGCUCCUUAAUAUAUAUAUUUAACACAAAUCAUGGAAGAGAUGGGAGUAUAUCAAGAUGAUCAAAGCAUGAAACAAAAAUAUUUAAGAAGUAAAACACUGAAAAUAGAGAAGAGAUGCAAGCAAAAGAUAUUCCAAAGAAAAGCAAUCUAUCUCCUUUCGAAGAAUGUUAUGGAAGAGUUGAACCCAGCGAAGAAUGUUAUGGAAGAGCAAAUUAAUGAUAUUUUUGAUAGAGUCUAUUUGAUUAUGUAGCCUGAAUAGAUGUCUUGUUGAAAGAUAUCUCAGUGCAUUAGUUCAUCCUUGACUGUCAAUGUGUUUUUAAUGGUUUUUCCAAAUUUUUAUUAUUAUAGAUUGAUUGUAAAUUUGAUAUGAAUUUAAUGUUGAAAUGUUUUCUCUUUAGUGGAAUGAAUUUAAAAGUGCAAAAGCUUAUUGCACACAGAGAAAUAAACAUAUAUGCUUUAUAACUUUAGCAAUCGAUUCUUUUACAGCUGGAAACAGAGAUGAUGAUUAUCAUAGGGGUGAAGAAAAGGACAAAAAAUGUUAAUGGUUAACGAAAUUUCUAUGCAAAUUGAUUUUAGCAGGAAAAAAGUGAGCUAAAUGAUCUUAAUGUUCCACAAGAAAAAGCAAGAUCUUAAUGUUCCACAAAAGCGUUAUUUAUUUUUUUUUGGUGAGCCACGUGGAGCUCAAUUAUCAUUGUCUUUACUUUAAAAACGUUAUUUUAUUUUCUUUUAUUACAAAUUAAUGCUAACAAGAAAAAGCAAGAUAUAAUAUUCCACAAAAGCAAAUCGUAAUAUUCCACAGAGGAGUAAGAUCCACAAAAGCAAACAACUAGCUGGAUUCUUUUAUUGAACUACAAAUUAAAACAACAAAUUAAAGUUCAAAUAUUUAAAUAGUAGUGCGUUAGACGAUUAGGCUCUUUUAUUAAAGGGAAGUAUAAAGUAGUCCAGAAUCGAACAUCUCUAUUGUCUAGUCUUUUUUUUUUUUUUUAAUUCUUCUUUUAUUAUUUUUCAGAAUAGGUUUUGGUGAUUACUAUUGGGUUAUUAUUGAGAGUUAUUGUUAUCUUCCGGGGCAGUUUCUGUUAAUCGAAAUCGUUAAUUAAAAUUUUAGAACUCUUAUUGGAAGAAUGUUUUUCCGUUAUUUUUUUAUAUUCUAAUUUCAAUUGUAAGAAGUAGUCAUUUUAGAAUUUGGGUCUUGAAUCGAAUUUCAAUGCAUGAAUUAAUAUUUAAAAAAAAAAUUACUACACGCAGUUUAGGUUACAAACUAUUUUUUGCAAAGUUGAUUAUGAAAUUGGAAAAAUUAAGUAAUUUAUAAUGUUUGCAAAGGAAGAGACUAACAUACUUCCAAUUACACUAUAUCUCUAUUAUCAUAAUGUUAAGAUUAAACUAACUUAAAAUAAAUUUUAUUUGAAAAGUUAUAUCAAACGCAGUCUAAUUUUAUUAACUUGAAGAGAUAAUAGUUAUAGAAAUUAUUGUUCUAACUUAAUUAGUACAAGUGGUAUAAAGGUUAAGUGUGCACUAAAUUUGUUUAAAUUUUUUCCAGAAUAACUAACAGAGGUCAUUACUAGAAUUAUAAUUACUAGUCUAUUAGAUAGAAAAAAUUAUUUAUAUUGUUUUAUAUUUAUUAAAAAAUUUUAAAGUCAAUCUUUUUAAUUAUUAUUUAAAGGAUAUUAUAAUUAAAAAAAAUUUAAUGUCUUUAUUAAAAAUUUAAAAAUUUAAAAAUUUAAAAAUUUACAUGACCGCUCUAUAAAUAUUGAAAGUGUAACUGUCAUUUUCUCAUAUAUAUAUAUAUAUAUAUAUAUAUAUAUAUAUAUAAACCACGGUGGUGAAGCUUUAUUUAAUAUUAAUGAUUUAAAUAACAAUAUCUCAAUUAAAAAUGUAGAGAGAAGAAAUUUCGGUGGGUAUAUUAGUCUUUUACAAUUAUCAUGAUUAACCCUUCCUCUUGUAACGUUGGUCAGAAAAGUUUUAAAAUGCCUUGAUUUCUUUUACUUUUAACGUUAGCGGCCUUCCUUAUAUUUUAUUACAAAUUAGUCCUAACAAGAAAAAGCGAGAUCAUAUUCCAAAAAAGCAAAAGUGACAAAAAAACCAGCUGUAUUCUUUUAUUAAACUACAAUUUAAAAUGAUUUUAAAGUGGAUUCUUUUGAAUACAGGUGGGGUAGUCGAAUAGUCUUUUUCAAAUUCUUGUUUUAUUAUUUUUCAAAACUAGUUUUUGGUAAUUACAAUCGGGUCAUUCAUUAGUCAUUAUUCAGAGUUAUUGUUAUCUUCGGGGGCAGUGGGUAAAAGGCUAAAUGAUAAUUACUAAGUGUUUUUCCUUCAAAAGUUAGUGGCUCGUGUUUUGCAAGUGUGUACGUGCGAUGCUCUUUGUCUAAAGGCAAUUACAGUGGGUCCCGAAUCGGACGUGCCUAAUAAAUCUUUUAAAAAUUUUUCUAAUAAAUAUUCCUAAAAUUUCUCUUCCACAGGCAAUUACAGCAGCUUCAGUUAAUCAAACUCAAUCAAUUUUCUUUCUUAACAAAAUUCCAAAGAUGUGUGGCUGUUUUCAGAUCACAUGCGAUGGUACUUUUUUCAAUCGUUGCUUAGAUUGCUUUCUUGGAAAAGCAGCAUACAUACGUAACCUCCAAGAUAACCUCGUUGCCUUGGAGACUGAACUAAGGAAACUAAUCGCAGCAAAGAACGAUGUGAUGACGGCGGUUGUCAAUGCUGAACGGCAACAAAUGAGAAGGCUGGAACGAGUGCAAGUGUGGGUUUCGAGUGUGGAUUCUGUUAAAACUGGAGCCGAUGAACUUAUCACAGACGGCUCUGAAGAAAUUGGCAAAUUAUGUGUUGGAGGCUACUGUUCCAAGAACUGCAGGUCAAGCUACAAGUUCGGAAAACAAGUGGCUGAAAAGCUACAACAUGUGAAGAAUUUAAUCGCCGAGGGAGUUUUUGAGGCGGUGGCCACUGAGGUGGUGCCCGAGAGAGCUCCGGAACCUGUAGCAGAUAAAAGACCCAUUGAGCCAACAAUAGUAGGCUUGCAAUCACAGCUUGAAGAAGUUUGGAGAUGUCUUGCAGAAGAAUCAGUGGGAAUCAUUGGCCUAUAUGGUAUGGGCGGUGUUGGUAAAACCACACUAUUGACCCAUAUCAACAAUAAAUUUCUUGAGAGUCCCACAAACUUUGAUUGUGUGAUUUGGGUCGUAGUUUCAAAAGACCUGCGACUUGAAAAAAUUCAAGAAGAUAUUGGGAAGAAGAUAGGUCUAUCUGAUGAUUCAUGGAAGAAUAAAAGUUUUGAAGAGAAAGCUGUGGACAUCUUGCGGAGAUUAGGAGAGAAGAGAUUUGUAUUGUUGUUAGAUGAUAUAUGGGACCGGGUUGAUUUAACAAAGGUGGGCGUUCCACUUCCCGGACCACAAAAUACUACCUCAAAAGUCGUAUUCACAACCCGUUCCAUCGAUGUUUGUGGCAGCAUGAGAGCUAGGCCGGUUAAAGUGGCAUGCCUAUCAGAAAAGCAAGCUUGGGAACUGUUCCACGAAAAUGUUGGGGAAGAAACUCUUGAGAGUGAUCAUGAGAUCGUUGAGCUAGCCCAAACAGUGGCCAAAGAGUGUGGUGGUUUGCCACUCGCACUUAUUACUAUUGGUCGAGCUAUGGCCUACAGAAAGAAAGCGGAGCAGUGGAGACGUGCAAUUGAAGAGUUAAGAAGAUCAGUUUCAGAGUUUGCAGGUUUGGGAAAAGAGGUGUAUCCUUUUUUAAAGUUCAGCUAUGAUAGUUUGCAGUAUGAUACGGUUAGAUCUUGUUUCUUGUAUUGUUGUUUAUAUCCUGAAGAUUAUGGCAUUCUUAAAUGGGACUUGAUUGAUUGUUGGUUUGGCGAGGGAUUUUUUGGGGAAUCUGACAGGUCUGGUGCAGAAAACCGAGGAUAUGGCAUUUUGGACACUCUUGUUCGUGCAUGUUUAUUAGAAGAGGUGGAAGAUGAUAAAGUAAAAAUGCAUGACGUUAUUCGUGAUAUGGCUAUAUGGAUAGCUUGUGAAAUUGAGAAGGAGAAGAGAAACUUUUUGGUUUGUGCAGGUGCUGGAUUAAAAGAGGCACCGGAUGUUAAAGGAUGGGAAAAUGUGAGAAGAUUGUCAUUGAUGCAAAACCAAAUUAAAACUCUGUCAGAGGUUCCUACAUGCCCUCAUCUCCAUACUCUAUUUCUUGACUUUAAUAAGGAGUUGGAGACGAUCGCGGAUGGCUUCUUCCAAUUUAUGCCUUCUCUCAAAGUUUUGAAGAUGUCAAACUGUGGGCAUGUCAAAGUUUUGAAAUUACCUAUUGGGAUGUCAGAGUUGGGUUCAUCACUAGAACUUCUUGAUAUUUCAAAUACCAACAUAACAGAGUUACCAGAAGAGUUGAAGUUGUUGGUAAAUCUGAAAUGUUUGAAUUUGAGGUGGACAAUUUGUUUAAAUAAAAUUCCAUGGCAACUAAUAUCAAAAUUUCAAGGUUACGUGUGUUGAGAAUGUUCGCUACUGGCUUUGCACGUUUUGAUGCAGCAUCAGAAGACAGCGUUUUAUUUGGUGGGGGUGAAGUUUUAGUACAGGAAUUGGUCGGUCUGAAAUAUUUAGAGGUAUUGGAGUUGACCUUGGGAUGUCAUCAUGCUCUCCAAAUUUUUUUGAGCUCAAAUAAGUUAAAAAGUUGUAUUCGAUCUCUUCUCCUCCAAUUGGCCGGAGAUACAAAGUCGAUUAUUGAUGCUACGGCUUUCGCAGAUCUAAACCACCUCAAUGAAUUAUGGAUUGAUAGGGCUAAGGAGUUGGAAGAAUUGAAGAUUGAUUGUAAAGAAAUAGUACAAAAAAGGCGGGAACCUUUUGUUUUCCGCAGCCUUCACCGUGUUACUAUACAUAGCUGCCAGAAGUUGAAAGAUUUGACAUUCCUCGUUUUUGCUCCAGACCUCAAGUCUCUCGAUCUAGACCGUUGCGAUGCUAUGGAAGAAAUAAUCAGCGUCGGAAAAUUUGCUGAGACUCCUGAGAUGAUGGGACAUAUAAGCCCUUUCGAAAAUCUCCAAACUCUUCAUUUAAGAGCGUUUAACAUCUUUUCUCGACGACCUGCACGAUUGCCUUUCACUCAUCUGAAGGAAAUGGAGGUAAGUGGGUGCGAUCAGCUUAAAAAGCUUCCACUCGAUUCCAACAGUGCAAAAGAGCGUAAAUUUGUUAUUCGUGGAAAAGAAGACUGGUGGAACCGACUUCAAUGGGAGGAUGAAGCCACUCAAAUUGCUUUUCGUUCCUGUUUCCAACCUGAGCGGUUAGUCGCAAAAUUUGAUUUCUGGUGAUUGCGUUUGUCUUUUAACUCUUAUAUAUAUUCUUGUCGUUUGUUUUCUUCUCUGUUUUUAACUCUUAUAUUGCGUUUGUCUUUUGAAAAUCUCCAAUUAAAUGUUGAAUUAAUGGAAUUAAUGCUUCAUAAAUUUGCCGGCACUGCCAUCACUUUUUUUUUUUUUAAUACAAAUUGAUACUUUAUUUAUAUCUUCUUAGCGAUAUAAUUUCCUGUCAAUUGACGAACGAGAAGAACAUACGACUUAAACCAAUUCACGCAUAAACUUGCUGUAAAAAGAUAUAAUCUCACUGAAAUGCACACGUCUAGAAUGAAUAGAAUUAAAACAGGGAAAAUAUUUAAGUAUAUUAGCCCUCUUUACCGAAAAUGAAAUGACAAUAAAUUUUUUGAAAGUUUUGAUUUUCUAUGGUCAAUUCCACCUUUUGCAAUUUCUUCUGUUCUAACAAAAACCAAUUUCUUUGUUCAAGUAUUUUCGUUUGGGUAUUAAUAAUUCUCCACCGAAAGAGUGAACUCUUGCUCAAGGGAUCUCUAAUCAAUAGCCGGAAGGGCGCCGAGACCUGAUCGGACCUAGGCCCAAGUUUGGUCUUAAAGCCUGGGCUUGAGCCUGGCAAUUAAAUUAAAACAUUAAUUGAUUUCUUGAUUGAAUUGUCGUGUAAUUGAUUUAUGGGGGAUGACACAUCAACAUGCUUGAAAACACACUAAUCUCAGCAUCAUCGGUUAAUAACUUUUAGAAUUAUGGGUAAUCAAUAGUUAAGAUUAGUUGUCAUUAAUACUAAAUAUUUUUUUACUAUUUUCGUCUCUUCUAGAGGAUCUUCUAGAAAAAUGCAUCCACAACAAAAUUUAAUACUUUACAUAAUAAACAAAGCAUAAAUGUUAAAUUUAAGAAACUGCAUUGUAUUUCAGCUGAAGUUGACUUUAAUAUUUAGGGUAGAAAAAUAAUAAAUCCUUAAUGUGUUUAAUUUCUAUCACUUGUGUCAUUAAAAUUUUCUAGUCACCCUAACCAAUUACAUCUCAACCCACUUUUUUUUGGAUGAUUUUAUUUUUACACUAUUAUUUUCAUCAUUUUUUUUCCUUUUAACACCAACAUUAGUGUAUGUUACGUAACAUAAUUCAUAUUUGGAUAAUUUGAAAUUUGUUUGUGUUUUAUCUCAAAAUAGAGCUUCAAUCAAUUUGUACCUCAUAAAUUCACAAUAUCUAUGAGGGCUAAUAAGACCAAACUCUGGCAUAUUGUCAAAUGUGCUUAUCCUUUUGCUUGACAUGUCAUUUUAAAAUUGUCAUUCAAUGCCAAAAAAUCACAUCAACUGAUGGCCGACUACUUUAAUUUGAAAGCAUGCAUGCGAUCGCCAAUAAUUAUAACUUAAUUGUUAUUUUGAAAUUUUUUUCUUUAUAAUUUUUAAGUUUAAUACUACUACAUGUGCAGCACAUAAGUUGGAAAAUAUAACAUAAAAUUUGAAAAAUGUGUAGCUUUCGUUCCUUUUUUUUCUUAAAAAUGAGGAAAAAGAAUGUAAUUUUGUUUAAAUUACUGUUGUGAUAACAAUUAUUAUUUUAUUGAUUAAUUGGCAGAGAAUGGUUAUGGUUUCGCAUGGUUGUUAAAACAUUGGAAAAUCCACUACAUCAUCCGUUAAUAACUUUCAGAUUUAUGGUUAAUCAAUAGUUGAGAUUUGUUAUCAUUAAUGUUAAAUAUUUUUUUAAUAUUUUUUCUCUCUCCUAGAGGAUCAUCACAGCAAAAAUUUAAUAUUAUAAAUAGUAAACAAAAUAUAAACAGUUAAAUCUAAGAAACUGCAUUGCAUUUCAGCUGAAGCUAACUUUAAUAUUUAAUGGAGAAAAAUAAUUAAGUCCUUAAUGUACUUUAUUUACCCAUACUGAUACGCUCUUAAUUCGUGAAACUGAGCAACAUCAAAAUUAUCACUACUUCGAGCGAGUGUUUGCUCCAGAAGAAAGAACUGGAAGUUGAGAAAUGAGAAAGAAGAAAAGAAGAAGAGUCACAGCGAGGAAUAAAAGUGGUCCAUUCAUUUCAUGCCUUCCCAAAAUGACAAAAUCCCGCAAUAUAUAACAGACAAUCGAAAAUAACCAAUUUGACAACGCAACAGAAAAUGACAAAAAAGAAUCCAAAACAAACGUAGCCAAUCACAAUGCUUUUACAGAUCAUCCUAAACGACGUAGUCUCGUAGCCAAUCUAGAAGUUUCUUGUUUCGUUUGGGCCGUUGAUUCUCUUGCACUGGCUCAUGGUGAAUGUCCUCUUUGGGUUGACUGACUGUGGGUUCUCGGUUGAGCUCUUCCACUUGCGCCCCCUCUAAUGGCUCUAAUUUGAUAUAUAAAUUCGUAUCAUUCCCUCCUGCUUGAAAACACACAUUGUCCUCAAGGUGAAAUGCUGGAUAGAGCUUACAAAAGGCGUCAAAGUUUUCCCAAGACGAAUUCUUCGGUGAACUGACGGUCCAUUGAACUAACACUUGAAGCGUUGGCUUCCCCUGUUGCAAAACUAUUCGGGUUGCACAAAUGGCAGCCGGUAGCAAAAGAGGAUGGUUAUCCACACUCAACUCUGGUAAAGGAUGUGAAAUAGCAGGGUCGUUGCCAUGAUAAUGCUUAAGGACAGAGAUGUGAAAAACCGAGUGGAUUUUGGAAGUAUUGGGUAACUCCAAUUUGUAAGCUACAUACCCCACUCUAGCAAGUACCGUAAAUGGCCCGUAGUAUCACUUGGCCAACUUCUGACAGGCGCGAGAAGCUAUAGUGGUCUGUCGAUAUGGCUGUAAUUUAACCAGCACUUUAUCCCCUACUUCAAAGUGAGCUUCACGGCGAUGGGCAUUAGCUUUCUGAGCCAUUCGAUGUUGUGCUUGCCUCAAAUUAGCUUUUAAAGAUUGGAGAAGAGUAUUACGUUCAAGGAGAAUGUCCUCCAAAGUUUGGAUUGAAGUAGAGCCCUUAGCAUAAUGAGGAAUAGUUGGAGGCAAUCGGCCAAAUAAAGCUUGAUAGGGAGACAUCUUCAAGCCACUGUGGAAAUGAGAAUUAUAACUAAAUUCUGCCCAACUCAGUAAGGAAACCCACUUCCGUGGUUUGUCUUGAGUGAAAGCUCGUAAAUAUUGCUCCAAUCCUCAAUUUACCACUUCCGUUUGACCAUCCGUUUGAGGGUGGUAUGCCGUGCUAUGACGAAGAGUUGUGCCACUUAAGAGGAAUAAUUGUUUUCAAAAAUUGCUCAAGAACACUGGGUCUCGAUCGGAGAUAAUUGAACUUGGAAAACCAUGUAUUUUAAUGACCAUGUCCACAAAGAGUUCAGCUGUCUUGAGGGCAGUAAAUUGACAGGGUAACGGACCAAAAUGGGCAAAUUUUGUAAGACGAUUGACAACAACCAAUAUGACCGAGAAACCUUGUGCUAACGAAAGACCUAUAACGAAAUCCAUUGUGACCUCAUCCCAAACCAUAUUAGGUAUCGGCAAUGGUUGAAGAAGACCAGCAGGGGCUUGAGUGGAAUACUUAGUUUGCUGGCAUAUUAAACACUCUCGGAUAAACGUUUCCACAUCAUGACGCAUCUUGGGCCAAUAGAAUGUUGAAGAUAAUCUGAUUAAGGUUCUAGUGACACCCACAUGACCUGCCAGUGGUGUAGAGUGAAAUUCUUGCAAUAGUACGACUUUUAAAGAGGAGGUAGGACUGAUGUAAUAACGCUGACGGUGGAGAAGAAAUCCGUUUUGAACAGAGAAGUCAACUGACAGUUUGCCUUGUAAAAGUUGCUGGUGAAGUGAUAUUAAAUCAGGUAAUGUGGUAUUCUCAUUAAGUAAUGACUGCAGCAAUUCAAAUGAAGGAUGGCUGUUGAAAGAAAGGCAAGUGGGGGAGAUGUUGAUGUUAUCCUCAGGAGCUGUUUCAUGGACACGGGAUAGAGCAUCAGCGGCGCUAUUGGUACAACAUGGUCUGUACUCAAUUCUGAAUUGGAAACCCAAUAAUUUGCGGAGAUAAACUUGCUGAUCUAGUGUUUGUAUCACUUGUUGAAGGAGUUCUUUGAUACUCUUAUGAUCCGUGCGGAUAACAAAGAAUCGGCCCAACAAAUACUGCCGCCACUUAUACACAGCUUCUACAAUUGCAUGCAACUCCUUGAUGUAAGUGGAAGAAGCCCGCAAUUUGGGACCCAACUUCUUGCUGAAAUAAGCAAUUAAAUGCCCAUGUUGUGUAAGUACAGCUCCUAUGCCUACAUUAGAAGCAUCGGUCUCAAUGACGAAUUCGAAAGUAAAAUUCGGCAACUUAAGGACUGGAGCUUGCACCAUUGCUUGUUUAAGAGCUUCAAAGGCCUCCAUGGCUGUCAAAUUCCAUUGAAAGGCAUCAUUUCGCAGCAAAUCAGUGAGUGGGGCUGCCAAGGAAGCAUAACCACGGAUGAAGCGCCUAUAAUAUCCAGUGAGACCAAGAAAACCCCUCAACUGUUUGAUAGAACGUGGAAUUGGCCAAUUAAGCAUGGCAUCAAUCUUUUGGGGGUCGGCUUGUACUCCCGAGGCUGAAACAAUACGGCUUAGAUACUCAAUAGCGGCUUGGCAAAACAAACAUUUGGAUAAUUUAAUAAAAAAUUGAUGAAGAUGUAAACAAGCUAAUACUUUCUCAAGAUGAAGCAAAUGCUCGGCCAUGGAGGAGCUAUAAACCAAGAUAUCAUAAAAAAAAACGAUCACAAAUUUCCGGAGAUGAGCUGCAAAAAUCUGAUUCAUUGUGGCUUGAAAAGUGGAUGGGGCAUUUGUCAACCCAAACGGCAUGACAAGAAACUCAUAAUGGCCCUCAUGUGUUCAAAAUGUCGUUUUGUAUAUGUCGCGGUUGUGGACACGAAUUUGAUGGUAUCCCGCGCGCAAAUCCAAUUUGCUAAAAAUGGUGGCGCCCCCAAGUUCAUCAAACAACUCAUCGAUUGUCGGUAUAGGAAAUUUGUCUUUGAUGGUUACGGCAUUUAAUGCACGAUAGUCAACACAAAACCGAUAGGUGCCAUCUUUUUUCUUGACCAAGAGAACCGGGGAGGAAAAAGGGCUUUAGUUCGGUCGGAUUAUGCCCUACUCUGACAUUUCCCUGAUCAGUUUUUCCAUUUCAGAUUUCUGGAAGUGUGGGUAGCGGUAUGGACGAACAUUGACGGGGGCUGUGUUGGGUAAUAAAUGGAUUUUGUGGUCAAUAGUUCUGUGCGGUGGUAGGCUAGAAGGUUGGAGAAAUAGGUGUUUGUAUUGCUGUAAAAGGUUGAGAAAUUGAGCAGGAAGGGAAAAAGGAAAUUCAAGUGAGGAAGUGUCUGUGAUGGAAAAUGAAGGCAAAGCAUCGAUAGCGGGCACUGGUUGUAAGGCACAAAGGCUGGUCACGGUAUCACUUUGAACCAAUACCUGCAAUUGAUUAUAAGUGAUCAAAUUAUUAGAAGACAAAUCACCAUGAAGCAUCACUGGUUGCUCAUUUAAAGAAAACUCCAUAGGACACUUUGCCCAAUUUCUGUAGCCAUUGAAUGCCAAGGACCACAUAUGUGCCCUCAAUUGGCAAAAUGAAGAGGUCUACCAUAAAAGCCGUGCCUUGCAUUGUUAAGUUCACUUGAGGACAGAACUGUUUACACACCAGGAAGUCACCGUUGCCAAUAUACACUCGGAAAUUGGUAGUUGGAUGAAUGGCUAACCCCAAUCGUUCCGCUAACGCCGGUUUUAUGAAAUUGUGAGUGUUGCCACUAUCAAUCAGCACUUGAAAGGUGUGCGAAUCAAUUUCUCCAAUUAAACGAAGAGAGCGAGGAUUGGCCUGCCCUGCUAGAGCAUUUAAGCUAGAGAUGUCACCAGUAAUACCAGCAUCUACCAAUUCUGAUGGUUCCUCGUUAUUUUUGGGUUCCAAUUCUUCAUCAUCCGUGCCCAUGAGAAGUAGAAAUUUACUGCGACAGAGAUGAUUGUUGCUGUAUUUUUUGUCACAAUUGUAACAUAAACCCUUCUCGCGUUUGUCGCAAAGUUCAGCCGAAGACAAACGGCGAAUUGGUAAUGUUGGUGUCGAUAAUAAUGCAGGUAAAGUGUUUGAUUUAUUGGUAUUGUGGGUUUGUGAGGGAAGAGUUGAAGAUGAUACGGGGGUGAUGGCUGUGGUAACAGUUGCAAGUGAUGAGGAUGGAUAAAUGGGUUUGGGUUGUGUUUGGAAACCAUGUGAAAGGGGAUAUGGUUGCUGCCAUUUAGGCCAUGAGCGUGAGCUCUGUUUCACUUCGUCAUAUUUGGCCUCAAAAGCACGAGCUAAAGUUUCCAUUAGUGAAGACGGUCUAGAGAAAAGCAAUUCCCGUCGAAUGUUGGGUUUCAGACCAGUGAUGAAAAAACUAAUCAAAAGAAGUUCAGAAAUUCCAGUGACCUUGUUCAUUAAAUCUUCAAAAGCUGACUGGAAAUCUGCAACCGUGGUAGUUUGACUCAAUUUGGACAAAUCACCUUGGGGAUCUUCACACAAAGAAGCACCAAAACGAUAGCGCAAGUUAGCUAAAAAUUCUUGCCAAGUAGUGAGCAAGUGAUUGUUCUUUAUCCAUUGAUACCACGCUGCAGCGCGACCCUCCAUAUGAAAAGAGACAAUCCGUAGUCGGAGGAUCUCAGGUGUGUCAUGAAAGUCAAAAAAUUCUUCUAUUCGAAAAAUCCAUCCAUUUGGGUCAGACCCAUCGAAUUUGGGCACAUCCAUUUUCAUGGAACAAAGUACUGGAGAAACUUUAGAACCAGUAAGAACGCCAUCAUAUUUAGAAGAUGAAGGGUGUGAAGGGUUGGAGGAACCAACUGGUUUGUUGGAAGACCCAUGAAUUUAUGUACGUAACUCCUCAAAACGAGAGUCAACUGAUGUCAUGAAUUGUUGGAUUGUUUGAUGGAUGGACAGUUGCUACCCAUCAAGUUUGGCGUCAAAAGUUGCUUGAAGGGUCUGUAAAGCAUAAAGAAUUUCAGAAUUUGCCAUGAUCAAUGAAAGCACCAGUGAUACGCUCUUAAUUCGUGAAACUGAGCAAUAUCAAAAUUAUCACUACUUCGAGCGAGUGUUUGCUCCAGAGGAAAGAACUGGAAGUUGAGAAAUGAAAAAGAAGAAAAGAAGAAGAGUCACAGAGAGGAAGAAAAGUGGUCCAUUCAUUUCUUGCCUUCCCAAAAUGACAAAAUCCCGCAAUAUAUAACAGACAAUAAAAAAUAACCAAUUUGACAACGCAACAGAAAAUGACAAAAAAGAAUCCAAAACAAACGCAGCCAAUCACAAUGCUUUUACAGAUCAUCCUAAACGACGUAGUCUCGUAGCCAGUCUGGAAGUUUCUUGUUUCGUUUGGGCCGUUGAUUCUCUUGCACUGGCUCAUGGUGAAUGUCCUCCUUGGGUUGACUGACUGUGGGUUCUUGGUUGAGCUCUUCCACUUGCGCCCCCUCUGAUGGCUCUAAUUUGAUAUAUAAAUUCGUAUCACAUACAUGCGGUUAAUUUUUUAAGAUAAAGGGGAAGGAUGAUGCUCAAAAAUAUAAAUUAUAGAAUUAAUUGAACUCUCAAAUAAGUUUAAAGUUCAUUAUUUUUAAUUACAUGUUUAUAAUUUAUUUUUAUUUCGUAUUAAUCUAUAGAUCUAAAUCCACUUUGGAUUCAUAUACACAUAUAGACAUAAUGUGUAUGUUAAUCUAUAGGUCUAAAUUCACUUUAGGUCUAUAUAGGUAUUUUGACAAAUGUACUCCAAUCAUGCAUAUUGGCAAGUUCAAAUUCAAUUUGGAAUAUGGUCAUGGUACGUUCUUGUUCUUCCCUCUUUACGAGUGCAUUCCCCCCAACCUCAAGCUCCCUCUCUCGUCUUCAAUGUCACUGCUUAUAUCCUUAUGUUGUUCUAGUUUGAAACAGUGGCUUCCACUAUUUCAGGGCCCCCAAAAAUCCAGAAACAUACUAUUCAUCACGAUGACAAAAUUUUGGGCAGGCAGGUGCUUCCUGACUUUCACACGGUAAUUCUCAAAUUCUGAUUUCACCAUAUUUUAAUUACUGAUUAUGCUCUCCAUUAUAAUAGAAGUCGCCGCCACACUAGUGAUUCCAAACUUUAUCUUUUUUCCUUUUUUAAAUUAAUGCAAGUAGCCGCUGUCCUUUUUAUUAAUUAAUUAAUUCGGCCGCCCACAUUUCUUUUUCUAAUGUCUUCUACUGUCGAGUUUAUUUUAUUUUCCCUUUAUUCUUAAAAUAUACUUAUAAUAAUAAAAUAUAAAAAUAAAAAUAAAAAUUAACAUAUCAAAAUAUAAUUUAACAGAAAAUUAAGAUGAAAAAUAAAAAAAAAUAAAUUCUGAACAUAUCAAUCAAUAAAUGAAAAAUAAUAAUUUUUAUUUUUAUUAAAUAUAUUUUUUUCAGUAUUAAUCAAUUAUCUGAAUAACUAAAAUCAUUUAAAAAUAAAUAAACAAAUUAUUCUUUAUAAAAAAAAAAAACUUUUUAUAACACUCACUAUGCUGGUUGUAGGGUAGACGCUUUGGGGACUGAAGUUGGUAACUUCUACAAGUAGUCUUAAGUUGAUAACUUCUACAAGUAGUCUUAAGUUGACUGGCAAAUGUUCUCAGUAUUAUAUUGGUGUGUCGAUAUUAUCUCUAACUGCCUUAUAGAUAAAAAAAUAAUCUAAAUUUAAAAUUUAACAUAAAAUAAAAUAAUUGGUAGAAAAACAAUUAUGGUUCAUUUACUUAUCAGUAAUCAGAAUAGACUGAAAUCGAAAUGAGUUGUAUUACCGUUGAUGUGUUUAUGUUGUCCUCGAAUCGGAAUGAAUUAUUUUAAGUUACUAAAAUAUCCUUGGUUUGUUAUUCUAAUUAUUAUUAUUUAAUAUUUAUUAUAAUAUUUGUCAUAUCAUUAAAAAGAAAUAAUAAUGAUGAUAAUAUUAUCAUUAUUGUUUGUUACAUUAUUAUUAUUCAAAAAAAUUAUUGUUAAUAACAAUAAUUACUUUAUUUCAAUACUAAUAAUGAUAAAAUUAAUAAUAACAAACAACAAUAAUUAUUUAUUAUGCCAAAAAUAACAAUAAUAAUAAUCAUCAUCAUUUUUUUUCCCAAAGAAGCAUUAUCAUCAUUUCAAAAAAAAUAUCAUCAUUAUCAUCAUCAUUUUUGUAGUGGCUGCCUAUCGGCUGUUGCUUUCAUGUGAGAUUGACUUGCGACGCUUCAACGGCUAUUAUUUCUGGCAAUGUCAGGUGUUACUGUUUCAAUUUAGGAAGAAGCUGUUUCGUUGUGCUAACGAUGGGAGAUGUUGUGGCUGCGAUUCGGGGAGCUACUAGUUUAUUGCACUAAUGACGGCAGGUGCUGCUGCUUGAUGCGAGGUCCAUGGCCAGUUGUCAGCAGUUCGACUUUGGUAUGGGUGCUGCUGGUUCGAUUUUAGGUGUUGUCCAAUUUCAUUUUCAGGAUUUUAAUUUUAUUUUUCUUUUAUAUUUUCAUUAAUUAAUCAGGACAAAGUUGGAUUUUAGAAUUUGGAAUGAAGGUAAUUUUGUUAAUCAUGGAAAUGAGAUUCUGAUUGUCGAGAAUGAGCUUACACAAACAACUACAAAUUAAGUGAAAACAAAACGCUUUUUCUCUUUGUGUGAUUAAAACAUGAUAUGUACCAUAAAUAAAUAGGUAAAAAAUAAAUUAAUACAAUCCAAAACAGUAAACUAAUUACAAGAGGCACAAAUUUUUAUGUGAAAUACCAAAAAUAGAAAAAACCACAGCAUCUUAGUAUGAGAUAAUCUUCUACUAUAUUAAUGAGAUUAUAGCACAAAUUCUUCCUUAUAUAACACUAGAGGUUAACAACAUCAAGAAUUUCAAUAAUCUUGACUUACAAUACAGCCUAAUAUUUGUCUCUCUAAUAAGUAGAUAUCUAAAAUAACAGUCUCUAAUAAAUAAGUAUCUCAAAUAACAGUCUCUAAUAAGUAUCUCAAAUAAUAAUUUCUAAUAAGUAUGUAUCUCAAAUAAUAGUUAACAAGAGGAUAAAACAAAAAUUAAGAUUAGUAGGAUUGUAUAAGGCGAUGCUAUCAACUUAUCUUCUAAAUUUGAGAAAAAUAGUUAAAUUCACUUUUUCGAUUGUGACCAAAGAUGGAAACCUUUGCCCCAAAACCAAAGGAAUCACCAUUUCUCUCUCUCUCUCUCUCUCUCUCUCUCUCUCUCUCUCUCUCUCUAUCUCUCUCUCUCUCUCUCUCUUCUUCUACUUUUCUUAAUGUUAGCCGCCACUCGCUUUUAUUCUUUAUAGCAUUUAAAAAGCUACUUUUAAUGGUAAAUUUCAUUUAAGUCCAAAACUUAGUGAUAAUUGUACACCAAACAAUUCUUUUUGGACUAUGAGCUUUUGGGCCUCCAAAUGAGAUGAAUACAACAAAUCUCCCCCUUUAGAUCAUGUGGGGGGCACCACAAGCCUGCUCUCUGCAUAUAGUUUUUCAACUUCUCCUUGAAUAAUGACUUUGUCAUCAUACAUAACCCAUUCUCUGUUGUGUAAAUUUUCUCAAGCUGUAGCUGUUGCUUCUCAAGCACGUCUCGUAUCUAAUGAUAUCUCACAUCAAUAUGCUUAGAUUUCGAAUGGUUUAUCAAAUUCUUUGAACGGCACUCUGACUGUCGCAGUACAUAACAUAGCUGUCUCGUUUUACACCCAGCUCUUAUAGGAAAUUCAUUAUCCAUAAUAUUUUUUUGCAACCUUCAAUAAUUGUUAUAUCAUUUGCUUUAGUGGUAGAAAACGUAACUUAUUACUAAAGUUUAGAUUGCAAUGAGACUUCUCCCCCUGCAAAAGUGAGCAAACAUCCUAGAAGGAAUUUUUCGGAAUCAACAUCUUCUGCCAUAUCUACACACUUGUAACACAGGUUUGUCACCACUAAAAUAUAAACAUGCUCUGGAAAUGCCUCUAAGAUAUCUGAGAAUUUUUCAUUGUUGUCCAAUGCUCUUUUAUAAUAAAUACAAACAUAAUGAAUUUAUAAAACAUUUAGAGUAUUUUGAAUAUUAUAUAAAAUAAUUUUAAUAUAAUGCAUGAGAUAUAUUUUAUUAAUUUAAAAUGCUAUUUAAUCUAAAGAUUUAUUUAAGAUAAAUUAAUAAUUAAAUUUUUUUAAUUAUUUCAAAUAUUAAAAAUUUGUAAUAUUAUUAGUCUAUUAGAUAGAUUAAAUUAUUUAUUUUAUUUUGUAUUUAUUAAAAAAUUUUAAAGUCAAUAUUUUUAAUUACUAUUCGAAGGAUAUAAUGAUUAAAAAAAUCUUAAUAUUUUUUAUUAAAAAUUUAAAAAUUUACAUGACCAUUUCUAUAAAUAUUUAGGGUAUAUAUGAGCCACGGUGGAGAAGAUUUAUUUAAUAUUAUUGAUUUAAAUAAUAUCUAAUUAAAAAUAUACUGAGAAAAAAUUUCGGUGGGUAUUUUAGUCUUUUCAGCAAUCACAUGAUUAGCCUUUGGGCUUUGGCCUUGAAACGUCGGUCAGAAAAGUUUUAAACUGCUUAAUUGUUUUUCACUUUUAACGUUAGUGGCUGCUUAUAUUUUAGGAAAAUGAGAUUCUCACCACAGUGAGAACCACACUGAGCACAGAACGGUGCGUUUUGUGCUCAGUAUAAAUUCUAACUGUAGCGGAAAUAUCGCAACACAAACGCGCCAUUCCAAACCCACGCGCGUUCUCCCUCACGCCAGCAAAUCUCACCACGCUUCCUCCUCACUGUAAGCGCCCCCCCUCCCCGGGGGCGGUCGGCUGCGUCACGCUCCCUCACGGCGCCUCACUCUCUCGGCUCUCUUAGAAAAUUGAAUUGCGGCUUCCGCCGUGGGGUUCUCUCCUCAACUGCCGUUGUCUCGUCUCUGACAGCUGCCUUAAUCAAAUUCUGAAGGUAGUUUGCUUCAAUUCAUUACAUUAAUUUCAAAUUUGGUUUGUGUGGGAUUAUGAGUUUGUGAAGAUUUAGUUCUGUUUCAUGGUAAACUAUUUUUUGCUCAGUGUGUUGAGAAUAUCAGCACGGUUUAAAAUUCUUUUUAGAUUCUGUCGUAAAGUUUUCUUUGUAUUGGGCAAGUCAGUUACUUUAGUUUUGUGUCUGAAAACAAAAACACUUAGCUUAGUGAGUUUUAAGAGAUUUUGCUAUUUUGUUCAACGAAGCUUAAAAAGGGGAAGCUUUUAUGGCGUCUGUGAGCCGAGGCAAUUUGGAUCGGGUGCUUUUUCAGUUCAUUUGUUUGUUUCUUAUUUGGGUUCUUUAUUGUUAGAUGUUCUUUUGAGAUUCUGGCAUCUGGCAUCUGGCUACUUGCUUUUGUGGAGUUUUUUUAUUAUUUGAAUUCUGUGAAUUCUUUGUUUUCUUUCCCAAAUGAUUCCACUCUAUAAAAUAUAUAUUGUGCUUGGCUAGAAUUUUCUUUUAGAUAAUUGCAUCCUGUACAUUGGCUUAACCUGUCAAGAAUGAGAAUGAUGGAAGAUGCCUAUCUUGGAAAGAAUAUAUUGAGUUACAUAGUACCGGUUCCAAAUGAAUAAAUUGGAACUUGCCUAAAACAGGCACCAAUCCACCAUGACACCAAGCCUUUUUAAAAUUUUUUUUUUUUUAAGUUUAAAGAAACUUAUGUUGCUUCUUUAGAUCUGUUUUAGCUUAUGAUGAAUUUUGCUAAUGGUAAAAUCCCUCCCCUUCAAAGUUGGGGGAGGGGAAGCAUCUAUAUGCAUAUGUGUACAUUAUGGAGCUCGAACUACAUGUCGCAGUAAUACAUUAUUCUCUUUGCUUUGCAGGUUUUGAUCAACAUGAGUGAUUGGGAUGUAGGUCUGUGCUUGAGAGGCCGGAGUGAUGACCAGAAUUCUGUCAACCAGACCAAAGACAAUCAACUGAUGAAGUGUUGUUGUUCUCUAUAUUGAUUGUUGGAAAUUAUGUGUUAUUUCCAGAUUUUUAGAAAAUUAUGAUUGCUGGAAAUAAUUAUAUAUGUACAAUCAUUAUGUCCUCCAGCACAAGUGAAUUUCCAAACCCACAACUGAAAGCUUGCGAAAAAUUUGUAGAAAAUUUGUACAUCAAAUCCACAAGCUAAGUGUUGUAUCAGAAUAUGAAUGACAAUAAAACAAAAAUCUGUGUUCUUCAUUCUUAAAAUACUAAUACAAUACAAGUACAUUCUUAUUCUGAGAAAUAACUACCUAUUAACUCCAUAUUCAUUAUCUUGUUGAAAGAGUAGCUGCUGAAAAUGUCCAUGUCGCUGAGCUUGUAUGUGCUAUUAAAAAAAAAUUAAACAUCUUGUUGUCAUCCGAAAAAAUAAAGAAGGCAAGAUGAACAAAUAAAAAACUUAUCACUACUUACGGUGCAAGAAUUUUAUGUAGAUAUUGAAUAAACAUUAUCCUCAAUUAUUUGUCACAAUAAUUUAUAUUCAAUUCAUGGUGUGUUGCAGCAAGCUUCCAUUGUUUAACUAAAUGACAGCUGAAUCUUUACAACUAAUUAUCUUUACAAUCAAAUUUGGAAUUAAUUAAGCAAAUUACCGCUAGAAAUCGACGAGUGAAGCUAAGAGAGUGAGGCUGCAAGUCGAAUUUUUGAGACAGCCGAGAGAGUGAGGCGCUGUGAGAGAUGCAAUGGACGGGCGAGAGAGAGACGAAGCCGAUGGUGAUUGCUGCAUUGGUAGGAUUGAGGGAGAGAGCGAAAGAGCCAGAGCGUGCGUGCUUGUUCUGCCAGAGAGCGCGUAUGUUUUUUCUCAAUGCGCGUGUUGCGUAAUUAUCCAUCUACAGUGACCAUUUUAUAGUUAUCUUGAAACGCACCGUUCGGUGCUAUAUGUGGGGCUGAAUGUUGUGAGCAUAUCGGUGCUGUAUAUUUUAUUAAAAAUUAAUGCUAACAAGAAAAAACCCCUCAAUGAAUGAGGGUGAGAUUGCUAAAAAUUACGACAGGUGAUAUUUUAUUAUUAUUAUUAUUAUUGGGGGAGAAAUCCUCACCAAAGUGAGGAGAUUUUAUCAAAAUCAAAAUAAAAAUAUAACAAGAACUGAAAGUUGGGCAGCCUAAAAGCUAGAUAAACUAAAAUUCAGGCGCCUAAAAACAACCUUAUGCAAAAGAGAAGCAACAUGAGACCGAUCAAGUAAAAGAAUCCACCGCAACACCUAAAUUGGCCAAAUUAUCUGUUGGUAUUACAAGUUUCUUGUUAUAAAAGUGUAGAAUGAAGAAGGUGACGUAGUUUUAAGUUACAGCUGCAUGCCCGAUCGCAAUAUCAAAUAAUGAUUAAAUAUCAAAUAAUACUUAAAAUAGUUGCCUAGACCCGCCACAAUUUAUAUUAACUCUUAAAUUUAUAAAUAAUUAAAUUUUUAAAAGUUCGGAUUUAUAUUAAAAAAUCUUCAUAUAAAUAAAUAAUAUAUGCACUUUUACAACACAGUCUUUAAAUUUAAAUUUUUCUAGAAAAAUCUUCUGUAUAUCUUUUCUAUUAAAAAAUUUCCAUAUAAAUAAAUAAUAUACCUAAUUUAAUUGGACCCAGCGCAACGCAUAUGCAUAGAACACAUUCCGAAAAGCCAUGAUAUUCGGAAAUUGACGAAUGAAAAGUGAGGAGGCAGCAGUCAAUGCUAUUUCGGCUUGGCCCAAAAUUGAUUUAUCAGUUUGACGUGUGCCAGGAAUGAAGAACUGGAAUAUCACCAUCAAGCAAGCAACCUGCGGAGCAAUACCAUAGAAUGCACAAUCCGGCUUUGCAAGGUGACACUGGAGGCUUUUUGAAAAGUGCUUCACGCUCACUUGACAGAUUGAGCAUCCCCUCUGGAUAUUGCCCUCUCUGAUCGAAUCUGAGCACUCAAAUUUCGGUCCUCAGAUGGAGCUACAGCUUUCUCUCCAAUAACCAACAAUUUUCUAAACUCAGCACCUAGUGUGAUCAGAGUUGUUGAUAUUUGUAAAUGGAGAUCCCCGUAUUUGCAAAUGGAGACAUUUACCAAAUCACCAACAUGCUUCAUCCAGUCUACGAAAUUCUGCAGCUGAUUCAAAUCCGGAACCUGAACAAGAGUCGGAGGUAAAUCUUGAGCCAUAUCUAAAGCAGUCUGAAGUUCAAGUACUUGAGCCCUUGACAAUGGUUUUGAAAUUGGAACAUCUUGGAUUACUGCAGACUUGUGCCCCUUGGUUUCAAAGGUAAGGAAAGGCAUUGCUUGAGUACAAUUUGGAGGCAGCUUCUUCACCAAUUUUAUUUGGAGGCGAUUGGCAGCGGAUCCAGCUGCACCAAUUUCAGAGCAAAUACUGACACUACUUCGAACAGCACACUGAAGAAGUGAUAUGUCUACGGCAAAGGCAAUGCAGUCCUCAUUUUGGCUUGAGAUGCAGUAAUCAUCGAAGAGAGUUUCCUUGUGAAACUGGGCAACACAUUGAAUCCCUUCGCCACUGAGAAGGUUGCGGAGGAAGUAAGCUUUCUCUCUAGUGAGGAAGAGGUGGCAUACCUUCCCCAUGUCUAGGGCAGGUAGGAAUCUUUUUUCUAAGAGAUUUACUUCAUUCUCUGUGAGAAAUGCUUUGAACUUCAUCCCUCUGUCUCUAUCCUCACUUAUCAGUAAAAUAGUUGAAAGUGCUACAAGGAGAGAAAAGAAGAGUAUUAAGAUAUAUAUAGACAAGAAAAACAUUAGAUGUCGAUCUUACAAGCUAAUACUUCAAACAGUAUCCUAGAAAGCUAAAAACUGCAAAAUGGCUUGACAUUUGAAAAGAACACAUGCUUUUCCUCCUUAACUUGAGAAAAUGUUUAAUAUAGUGCACCUUACAGAAACAUUUAAGCAAUUAGAACUUUGCACAAAAAUAUUCAAGAAGACUAAACAAAUCAGAUGCAGUGUAUUUCUCCAAGCACAAAUGGCAUUGCAUUUUUUCCUCAACUGUAAUAUUUAUUGAUGAAAAUCAGUACAGGUCCCUCAUUUGUUAUGGAAAGCUUUCUUGUAGUCUGACUGGUUAAUUCACGGAUCUAUAAUUAUCUUGCAAAGUUACAGGCAUUUCUUUCGAUUUAAAGUCUUUGCAUCACCACCUCAUCACACACCUAGCCAAUAUUCCGUCUACUUCUACAACAAAAAGUUUUAAGUAAACGAUCCUAAUGCAUGCAGCCAAAUAAAAUGCAGUAAGAAUAUUCAACUUAAAACUCUGAAAGCCAUCUUGGUGAAUUGCCUCCUUAGGGGAAGUUCCAUGAUUUACUAUACUUGACAGGACUGAGCAAAAGCUUACAUACAACAGAUUUUGAAAAUGAUGAUGCCAAUAGAUACUCAUACAAUCCAUUGAAACUCCUAAGGUCCAUUGUUCACAGAGGUUUACAGAGUUUUGGUUAUCAAAUAGCUCAGACCUUAAUCCCAAACAAAAAACGAGUGAAAAUUAGAUCACCAGCAGCAAAUUGUAAAUUCUAACUUAACUCUUCAUCUCCUUUGUAAACAGGAGACAAAAUGGAGACACGCAAAAUGAAUAAGGAGAACAUUUGAACUCAAAUGAAAUGAGGGCACGAAAGCAAACAAAUGGCAUGCGCAAACAAACCAAGCCUCAAUCAAAAACUAAUUAACCAUUAAAAAACAAAACUGGUCAGCUUCUGGUGUUCUCAAAUUGUAUAACAAGAGAUCGACACAUCGAAUCAGAAGAACUCAAUUCAAAUUUGUCUCAAAAAUCAAAAUUAGAAGAUUUCACAUUUCGAGAGGAACAAGCGACAGGUCAGAUGCAAAAUUUUCAGCCAUAACAUGCCACAAUUAACGGUUUAUUUCCAUGGAUUUAGAGAGCUGACUGACCUUUUGGCUUUUGGAAUUGAGAAGAUCGCGCGCCAAAAUGGAAGAGGGAAAGCGAAAGUGCGGGUUUUAAUAGGGUAUUGGAUUAGCAAAUUUUAUUAGUUUGCGAGGGUAAAAUAGGAAAGUGAUAUCACUAUUAACCUUUUUUUUAAUAAGAAAAAAGAAUAAUAAAGAAUAUUUUAUUGUCAUUUGCAGCAUUUAUUUUUUUUAAAUGCUAUUAGAAAAAUACGACAACAAAGAAAUGCUCUUUUUUUUUUUUUUUUUUUUCUCGAAGGUAAAAUCAAUUAUUUAGCUCCUUAUAUGUAAUCAAACUACAUUUCUUACUUUAAGUCAUAUCCAACGGACCAACAAAGUAAUUAUUUUUUUUUUCAUUCAUUUUUGCAGAAAAUUAAUAACUUAAAAAUAUUGAAAGCUAUUGUAAAAUUUUUUAUUAUCAACCUCAUAGUUUUAUUUUUUGGGAAGAAUUGAAUUUUUUUUUUUAAUUUCCAAGAAUUUCAUUCUCUAGUUUUUCCAUUAAUAUUACUUAUCUUGAUACCCAUCUUAAUUAAAAUCUGUAGUUUUAUUCAAGAGUCAUGCUAUUCAUUCACUCACAGACCAAAGGCUUUCCGCAGCAAUAUUAUUAUUUAAAUUACAACAAAGGGGAAAUCAAAUACGUCAUACAGAAGCUUAAAGCUGAAUCUACAAAAUCUAGAGCUCUCAACUACAUAAAUUACACUUGAUGAUCCUCUACAAGAUGAAGCUUGUUCAAUAUCUCAUCCAAAGCUUGUAAAGUAACAUUAUAACGAUCUUGAGAUUGCCUGCCUUCCUCGACGACCUGCACGAUGCGUUUGUACAAAUCAUCAUACCUGUGCACCGGAUUUUUAAUAUCAAUGCCACUGCAGCUGUGAUCAAGAACAUAAGAGCGUUUAACAUCUUUUCUCCAUCAAGAAAGAAUGUAGUGAGAUGGGAUCUCCUGCAUGCCACUCUGGUUUAGAACACAAAGAAUGUGUCUGCAUAAAUAUCCUCUGAAAUUGAACAACCCACAAACACAAAGCACCUCCAAGUCGGAGGCAUUGUACAAAACAUCGAAAAUAGUUAUGUUUUACAAUCUAUUAGACAUAUUUUAUUAAAUUAAUAUAAAUUUUCUAUAAAAUAAGAAUAUAAUAUUAAAAUAAAUUCACAAAAAAUUAAAGAAUUUUGAAUGUAAAAUAAUUUUAAUAGAUUAAUACGUGAGUUUUUUUAUUAAUAUAAAAAUUAUUUAACUUUAAGAUUUUUUAAAAUCUUUACAAUAAGUAUGACUAUAUUAUUUACAUUUAAAAAUAUUUAAAUAUUAUUAACCUACAAUUAUAUUUGCAUUUGUUAGAAUUUUUUAAGUCAAAUAUUUUGCACUUCUAUAUUAUUAGAAUUAUUGCACACAAAGAAAGAAACAUAUACCUUUAGAAAUUGUUUUCUUUUAAAAUAGAGAUGAUGAUUAGUAUAAGGAUGAAAAAAAUGAUAAAGAAUAUUAAUGAUUAACGAAAUCUCUAUACAAAUUGAUUUUAGUAGGAAAAGAGUGAGAUGAAUGAUUUCUUUUACGGUUAGAAACAUAGAUGAUGAUUAUUAUAACGAAGAAAAAAAGAUAAAGAAUAUUAAUUAUUAAUGGAAUCUCUAUGCAAAUUGAUUUUAGUAGGAAAAAAAAUGAGUUAAAUGAUUUAGAGUGCGUUUGGAAUUGAGAUUGGGCAGCCAUAGAUUUUAAGUUACAAUACUGAAGUGUUUGAUAAAUACUAGCUGCUGCAGAUUGAAAGUUAUAUUGAUAUGAUUUUUCACAUGUAUCAUAGAAAAUAUAUUACAUCUUUAAUAAUUUUUUUAAAAUUUAUAUUUGCUAUAUAUUAUUAAUUUUUUUUUAUAGUUAUAACUUUUUUUCCACAGCAGUUGUAGCUUAAAAGUCACAGCAUCUCAAUCUCAAACAAAUCCUUAGACAUUCAUAGUGUGUUUAUUUUUUGGAUUGGUGAAUCAAAAUUAUUGACAACGCUAACUUCAUCUUCAUUGUUCGCAAUCCAACAGCAGCAGCAAUUGUCACCAAUAAUGAUAUCUCCAAUGAUGAUGACAAUUAUUAUUAUUAUUAUUAUUAUUAUUAAUUUAUUAAUUAAUAUAUUAAUGUUAAUAAUAUUAUUAUUAAGAUUAACAAUAAUUAGUAGUAAUACAAUUUUUUGAAUAAAAAUAAUCACAAUAAUUAAAAUACAAAUUAAUAAUUAUGACAAUAGUUAAUUAAUGUCUUUUUAGUAAUUUGUAAUAAUCUAACUCAUUUUGAUUCUGAUUAUUACAGCUUAAGUAAACAAAUUAUUAUGAUUCCUAUUUUCCUUUCCUAUUUUAACUCACUUCGAUUCCAAUCUAUUCCAAUUUCUAUCUAAUAAAUGCACCAUUAGUGCUAAAGUAAUAUUUCAUACAUAGAAAAAUAAAAACUACACCUAAGGUUAAGGGAAAGGACUUCAAAACUCUCUUUUGAUCAUAAUACAUUUUGUCCUAAUUAACUUAAAGAUUUUGAAUCUAAUAUUUUAUAAUAAAUAAAAAUAUAUUCCUAAAAUAAAUAUAAUAUCAAUAUUUAAAAUAUGUUUUAAUAUUUUACAAUCUAUCAUACACAUUUUAUUAUAUUAAAGUAGAUUUUAUAAUAAAUACAAACGUACUAUUAAAAUUAAUAUAUAAAAAAUUUAGAAAAUUUAGAAUAUUAUAUAAAAUAAUUUUAAUAUAAUGCGUGAGAUAUAUUUUAUUAAUUUAAAAUUUUAUUUUACCUAAAAAUAUGAUAAAUUAAUAAUUACAUAUUUAAAGUUAUUUCAAAUAUUAAAAAAAUUUAAUAUUAUUAGUUUUUUAGAUAGAUUAAAUUAUUUUUAUAAGAGAUAGAUUAAAUUAUUUUAAAAUACCUUAAUUGUUUUUACUUUUAACGUUACCGGCCUUUCUUUUAUUUUAUUGUAAAUUAAUGCUAACAAGAAAAAGCUAGAUCAUAUUCCACAAAAGCAAAAGUGACAAACACAAUCAGCUGGAAUCUUUUAUAAAACUACAAAUUAAAAUGGUUUUUUUUUUUUUUUGAUAAAUUACAUAUAAAAGUGGAUUCUUUUGAAUAUAAGUGGGGUAGGCUCUUUUAUUUUUUUUUAAUACUGUAUAACAAGAUUGUAGACUCCUUGAUUAAGCACAAGUAUAAAGUAGUCGAGACGAUACUUUAUGCUAGGUGUCCAUUGAAUAUUAGAUCUUCAUUUCUUUGGCCAUUUAAUUUUUUCGAGAAAUUUUUCUUACGAUCCCGGCUAAGCUUGAAGAAAAGACAACUCAACGGUUUUUUUAAAACAAGUUUCCGUUUUGGUUGGUGAAAUGAAAACGAAAUAAAGCACUUCCAUCCAAAAAUCAUUCUUCUGGAGAAAGGGAUGACAGAUUAAAGAAAAGGGGUGUACUGAAAGGAGAAAAAAGGUUCUUGCAUGAGAGCUGGACACGUUAAAAGAAGUUGAACAAAUGUCUCAAAAAGAAGCUAUUUCGCUUUCAUACUAAAGCCUAUUUGUAAUAGCAUCAGCAAUGCUCCACUAUCCACAUUCUUGUGCGGAUAUCAUUGCAAUCUACUAAUGGUAUAUAAACAUGCAUGUUGUCCCAUGAUGAUUAAGUUAACACACACUUGGAGGUACUUAAAUUAUGCCAUAAAGAGAUAUAGUUAUUACGCAUACAAAUGUUAUUCAAUGGUUAAAAUGUAUGAUAAAGAAAUCGCUUGAAUUUUUUAUUUGCCGUUACGUAAUUUUUUUAUUGAUUCCGAGUUUGAAUCUUAAAAGAAAUAAAGGGUUAGAAAAUUAAUUUGAACUUUGUCCACUCUUUAACUUAAUGAGUAUAAAAACAGAAAAUGCAGGUAAUUUAAUUUUGACAUCUAACAUUUAAGAGAUAGAGCUUGAAAGAGUCCAAUAUUAAAUUAUAAAAUAAUUGAAAUAAAGUUUGCCCCAUAAGAAAAAUUGAACAAAAAAUCUUAAGUAUGAUAUGAUGCUAGAGAAAUUAUUUAUCUCAAAACUUUUAUUAGGUAAUUAAGUCCUAAGAAUAUGUAAUUACACAUGUAACAAAAAUUAGAGAUGAGGGUCUUUUAUUAAACUACAAAUUGUAUAGUCUUUUUAAAAUUGUUAUAAAUUGGUGGCCCCUACAAUCCUCAAUAAUUGUGCCGAUAUUCACAAGUUGGUGGCCCCUACAAUUAUCAACUGUGCAAGUGCUCAUUCACAAUCUUCCAGGUCAUGCUCUUAAUAAUUGUUUUUUUUUUCUGCAUUCCCUUUCAUGCUCUUAAUAAUUGAAGAGCAUACUUUUCAAAUAUGGAGCCGCAGCUAAUGUCGCUAAUUUAAUUUGGGAUUAAAUUAGGGGACCAUUAUGUUGCAGUGUGCACUAAUUUUUGUGUUUAUCUAAACUCCUUAAAUUUAAGACAUAUUACGGCAUAAAUAAGAAUAUAACAAUAACAAAAGAGUUAAAAAGUGUAGAGAAGAUCUUGCAGAAAUAUAAAUAAUAUCUAUUUUAAAAUAAUAUCAAUAUUUAAAAUAAUUUUUAAUAUUUUAUGAUCCAUUAGAUAUAUUUUAUUAUAUUAAAGUAAAUUUUAUAAUAAAUAAAACAUACUAAAUUUAGAGUAUUUUAAGUAUUAUAUAAAAUAAUUUUAAUAAAAUAUGUGAGAUAUUCAUAUUUUAUUAAUUUAAAAUACCAUUUAACCUAAAGAUUUAUUUAUGAUAAAUUAAUAAUUAUAUUUUUGAAAUUACUUCAAAUAUUAAAAAAAUUAAUAUUACUAAUCUAUUAGAUAGAUUAAAUUAUAUAUAUUAUUUUCUAUUUAUUAAAAAAUUUUAAAAUUAUUUUUAAUUACUAUUCAAAAAAUAUAAUGAUAAAAAAAAAUCUUAACAUCUUUAUUAAAAAUUUAAAAAUUUUCAUGAUCAAUUCUCUAAAUAUUUAGGGUAUAUGUGAACCACGGUGGAGAAGCUUUAUUUAAUAUUAUUGAUUUAAAUAAUAUGUGACAAAACAACUAGGUGGACUACAAAUUAAAGUGGAUUCUUUUGAAUACAAGUGGGACAGACGAUUAGGCUCUUUUUAAUUUUUAUUAAAGGCAAGUAAAAAGUAGUCGAAUAGUCUUUUUCAAAUUCUUGUUUUAUUGUUUUUCAAAACUAACAAGAAAAAGCGAGAUCAUAUUCCACCCCAAAAGCAAAAGUGACAAAACAACCAGCUGUAUUCUUUUAUUAAACUACAAAUUAAAAUGGAUUCUUUUGAAUACAAGUAGGACAGACGAUUAGGCUCUUUUUAUUAAACGCAAGUAAAAAGUAGUCGAAUAGUCUUUUUCAAAUUCUUGUUUUAUUAUUUUUCAAAAUUAGUUUUUGGUAAUUACUGUUUUUCCUUCAAAAGUUAGCGGUUCAUGUUUGCAAGUGUGAAUGUGCGAUGCUCUUUUCUUAAAGGCAAUUACAGUGGGGCCCGAAUGCCUAAAUCUUUUUAAAAUUUUUGCCGUAUAACGAACAGAGGUCAUUACUAAAAUUUCUCUUCCACAGCCUACAGCAGCUUCAGUUUAUCAAACUCAAUCAAUUUUCUUUCUUAACAAAAUUCCAAAGAUGUGUAGCAUUUUUCAGAUCGCAUGCGAUGGUGCUCUUUUCAAUCGUUGCUUGGAUUGCUUUCUUGGAAAAGCAGCAUACCUUCGUAACCUCCCAGAUAAUCUUGUAGACUUGGAGACUGAACUGGGAAGACUAAUCGCAGCAAAGAACGAUGUGAUGAUGAGGGUUGUCAAUGCUGAACGGCAACAAAUGAGAAGGCUGGGCCAAGUGGAAUGGUGGGUUUCGAGGGUGGAUGCUGUUAAAACUGGAGCCGAUGAACUUAUCACAGACGGCUCUGAAGAAAUUGGCGAAUUAUGUGUUGGAGGCUACUGUUCCAAGAACUGCAGGUCAAGCUACAAGUUCGGAAAACAAGUGGCUAAAAAGCUACAAGAUGUGAAGGCUUUAAUCGCCGAGGGAGUUUUUGAGGCGGUGGCUACUGAGGUGGUGCCCGAGAGAGCUCCGGAACCUGUAGCAGAUGAAAGACCCAUUGAGCGAACAGUAGUAGGCUUGCAAUCACAACUUGAACAAGUCUGGAGAUGUCUUGUAGAAGAAUCAGUGGGAAUCAUUGGCCUAUAUGGUAUGGGCGGUGUUGGUAAAACCACACUGUUGACCCAUAUCAACAAUAAAUUUCUUGAGAGUCCCACCAACUUUGAUUGUGUGAUUUGGGUCGUAGUUUCAAAAGACCUGCGACUUGAAAAAAUUCAAGACGAUAUUGGGAAGAAGAUAGGUCUGUCUGAUGAUUCAUGGAAGAAUAAAAGUUUUGAGGAGAAAGCUGUAGACAUCCUGCGGAGUUUAGGAGAGAAGAGAUUUGUAUUGUUGUUAGAUGAUUUAUGGGAGCGGGUUGAUUUAACAAAAGUGGGCGUUCCACUUCCCGGACCACAAAAUACUACCUCAAAAGUCGUAUUCGCAACCCGUUUCAUCGAUGUUUGUGGUAGCAUGGAAGCUGACAGGAAGUUCCUAGUGGCGUGCUUAUCAGAAAAGGAUGCUUGGGAACUGUUUCGAGAAAAAGUUGGGGAAGAAACUCUUCAGAGUCAUCAUGAUAUCGUUGAGCUAGCCCAAAUUGUGGCCAAAGAGUGUGGUGGUUUGCCACUCGCACUUAUUACUAUUGGUCGAGCUAUGGCCUGCAAAAGGACAGCCGAGGAGUGGAUACACGCAGUUGAAGUGCUAAGAAGAUCAGCUUUUGAGUUUGCAGGUUUGGGAAAAGAGGUGUAUCCUCUUUUAAAGUUUAGCUAUGAUAGUUUGCAGAAUGAGACGAUUAGAUCUUGUUUCUUAUAUUGUUGUUUAUAUCCCGAAGAUUAUGGAAUUCUUAAAUGGGACUUGAUUGAUUGUUGGAUUGGUGAGGGAUUCUUAGAGGAAUCUGACAGGUUUAGUGCAGAAAACCAAGGUUACUACAUUGUGGGCACUCUUAUUCAUGCGUGUUUACUAGAAGGGAUAGAAGAUGAUAGAGUAAAAAUGCAUGACGUUGUUCGUGAUAUGGCUCUAUGGAUAGCUUGUGAAAUUGAGGAGAGGAGACACUUUUUGGUUUGUGCAGGCGCUGGAUUAGAACAGGCACCGGCUGUUAGAGAAUCGGAAAAUGUGACAAGAUUGUCAUUGAUGCAAAACCAAAUUAAAAUUCUGUCGGAGGUUCCCACAUGCCCUGAUCUCCUCACUUUAUUUCUUGACUUUAAUGAGGAGUUGGAGAUGAUCGCGGAUGGCUUCUUCCAAUUUAUGCCUUCUCUCAAAGUUUUGAAGAUUUCAAACUGCGGGAAUUUUACUUUUCAAUUACCUUUGGGGAUGUCAAAGUUGGGUUCACUAGAACUUUUUGAUAUUUCACGCACCGAAAUACAAGAGUUACCAGAAGAGUUAAAGUUGUUGGUAAAUCUGAAAUGUUUGAAUUUGAGGUGGACAAGCAAGUUAAUUAGAAUUCCACGGCAACUAAUAUCAAAUUCUUCAGGGUUACGUGUGUUGAGAAUGUUCGCUACUGGCUAUGAAUGUUUUCAUGAAGCACCAGAAGACAGCGUUUUAUUUGGUGGGGGUGAAGUUUUAGUACAGGAAUUGCUCGGUUUGAAAUAUUUAGAGGUAUUGGAGUUGACCUUGGGAAGUUAUCAGGCUCUCCAAAUCUUUUUGAGCUCAAAUAAGUUAAAAAGUUGUAUUCGAUCUCUUUUCCUCCAGUUGGCCGGAGAUACAAAGUCGAUUAUUGAUGCUGCGGCUUUCGCAGAUCUAAACCACCUCAAUGAAUUAUAUAUUUAUGAAGGUAUUGAGUUGGAAGAAUUGAAGAUUGAUUAUACAGAGAUAGUACGAAAAAGGCGGGAACCUUUUGUUUUCCGCAGCCUUCACCGUGUUACCAUAUUUAGUUGCGGUAAAUUGAAAGAUGUGACAUUCCUCGUUUUUGCUCCAAACCUCAAGUCUCUUGAGCUAUUGCAAUGCGAUGCUAUGGAAGAAAUAAUCAGCGUCGGAGAAAUUGCUGAGACUCCUGAGAUGAUGGGACACAUAAGCCCUUUUGAAAAUCUCCAAAGUCUUCAUUUAUCGUAUUUACCAAUUUUGAGGAGCAUCUACUGGAAGCCAUUGCCUUUCACUCAUCUCAAAAAAAUGGAGGUACGUAGAUGCGAUCAGCUUAGAAGGCUUCCGCUCGAUUCCAACAGUGCAACAGAGCGUAAUGUUGUUAUUCGUGGAUACACACUCUGGUGGAACCGACUUCAAUGGGAGGAUGAAGCCACUCAAAUUGCUUUUCGUUCCUGUUUCCAACCUCGUUCCUGAGCAGUGGUCGCAAAAUUUGAUUUCUGGUGAGUGCGUUUGUCUUUUAAAAAGAAGAAUUUAAAAGAAAUUUAUUCUUGUCGUUUUCUUCACUGUUUUUAUUUGAUUUCUGGUUAGUUUCUUUCUCUCUCUCUCUCUCUUUGUCUUCUGCAAAUCACAAUUAAAUGUUGAAUUAAUGGAAUUGAUGCUCUGGUUUUUUACUUUUUGUUGUCAAAUUUUGCCCUGUUCUAUCUUCUUAGCGAUUUAAUUUCCUGUCAAAAGACGAGCGAGAAGAACAUAUAUAUGACUUAAACCAAUUGAUACUUUAUUUAUGUGCAUUGUAUGUAAUAAAUAUUAAGUAUACUUUAUUUUUGCCCUGUUCUCUGUUUUUAUUUCAGUCUCUCUCUCUCUUUCCUGUCUUCUGCAAAAUAUAAUCAAUUAUUUUCAAAAUAUCAUUGAUGAUUUUUCUGCUCUAAUGCUAUGUAAAUAGUAUGUUAAGUAAAACAUAAUCAAUUAUUUGUGUUUUAUCUCUAAUUAGAACAUCAAUCAGUUCAGUACCUCACAAAUAAUUCGCAAUAUCUACAAAAUACUAUAAUGGCUACAAAACAAAUCCUGCUUGCAAAUUGUCAAGGAUACCUAUCCGUUCGCUUGACAAGUCAUUUGAAUAAAUAUUGUUCACAUUCCUUACUCUAUCAAUUAUCCAAAGCACCAUCAAUGGUCCUCAACUUUAGUUUGAAUAGUAUACAUGCCAUCACCAUUACCAAGAAUCAAGCAUGGAAGAGUCAUUCUAUAGAGUUAAUCGAAGCAAGGAAUGAUGUAUCAGAAAAUAUUUGGUGGAGAAUUCAGCACAAACAUAUUUUGGAUGAUCAGAAUCAAUAAAACCUGGUGGUUGCGCCAUAUAAACAUCUUCGGAAAGCUGACCUUGAAGAAAGGCGUUAUUGAUAUCCAAUUGACGAAGAGGCCAGCCAUGACUAACAUCAAUACUAAGAACAAGCCGUACUGUGGUGGACUUAACAACUGGACUGAAAGUGUCAUAAUAGUCCACACCAGGCCAUUGAUUGAACCCUUUGGCAACAAGAUGAGCUUUAAACCUGUCAACAGAACCGUUGGAAUGUCUUUUAAUACAAAAAUCCAUUUGCAGCCAACAAUAUUGGAAGGGAUGGGAGGUGGAACAAGCUUCCAUGUCCCGUUACGAACAAGAGCAUCAUACUCUUCUGACAUAGCUGGACGCCAGUGAAGAUUUUUGAUAGCUUGCGUCACAGUUGUAGGUUCACAAUCAGAAGAAGGGCUAAAAUGAGCACGGAGGUUAAGUUUUUGUAACGGCUUGUGAAUCUUAUUUUUAGCUCGGGUAGUCAUAUCAUGAUGACUUGUGGGGCAAUGAUCUAGUGGAGUUUAGGAAGAUGAUUGAACAGGAAGUGAAGAAGUGCUUUGUGUAGAGGUAGAAGUAGGUUGGGAGGAUUGCUGCGGAGAUGUUACCGGUAGAGAAGAAGGAGCAGUACACGGUGGCAACUCCAGAGGGCCCACAAUAGAUGGAGUAGGUGCCGACAAUGGAGUACUAGGAAAUGAAACAGGAAGAAUUGGUGGAACACUUGCGUAAUUAGGAGUGGUAGAUGAGCUUGUAAUGAUUUGUAUGGAAAAACAAACUCUACAAAUUUAACGUGACGUGAAAUAAAAAUUCAACCCGAUUGCAUAUUUAAGAACAUCUCAAAUGAAUUGCUUACUGCUAUCAUCAUCAUUAUUGUCUAUAUAAUAAUGGAUCUUUAUUAUAUAUAUGUUUCCACUAAAAUAUAUUUAAUUAUUCUUUAUUUUUCUAUUGUUGCGUGUAAGAUUUAUUUGAGUUCUAAGUUAUAUCAAUACAAAUGUUAUCUUAUCCAUAAAAAGUUAGAUCCAACAAUUAUGAAAAUUACUAUAGAGUUGCUUUCAAUUAUUUUUUUAAAAUACCAGGAGUAAAUAAUAAUUAGUUCAAAUGGUGGAGACUAAAAUGCGUUCACCUUUAUUUUUUAUCUGUUAUUUACUUUUGUCAUUACAUUAAUGCACAUGCUAUACAUUUGAGACAUUCCAUUAAUUGCCAAUUAUGUAUGUGAGAUAGUAAUUUAAAUUAAAAAAUAAAAGUGAAAGUUAAUCCUAUGCAAUGUGAAUAAAUUUCUUUCCUUUUUCCUUUACUCUUUUUAUUUGACAAUAAAGUUUCCAUCUAUCAUCUAUCAUCUAUGUACACAAAAUUUCUGCAACAAGUACAAAACAUAAAAAUAUAUGAAUAUUAAGGGAAACACGCAGAAGUUCAUCAUUUCAAUGUUCAGUAUUACCAAUUUUGGCAUUAAGCUUGUACGAAUAUAUUCUACUUCGAAAGCAAAAUAUUAGACUCGUGAUUUUAAUUCAUUCAUUAUCUCUCAUUUUAAUCCCAAAAUAUUCAAGAGUAUCCAAGUUACCAUAAGACUUCAGAGGCUCGAGCCUUAGCCAGAGAUGGUUAAUUGAUAGACUAUGUGCCUGGGUCGAGCACUGGAAGCCUGCAAUGCAGACUGAUUGAUUUAUCAGUUUAACGUGUGCCAGGAAUGAAGAACUGGAAUAUCACCGUCAAGCAAGCACCCUGUGGAGCAAUACCAAAGAAUGCACAAUCUGGCUUUGCUAGGUGACCCUGGAGGCUUUUUGAAAAGUGCUUCAUGCUCACUUGCACAGAUUGAGCAUCCCCUCUGGAUAUUGCCCUCUCUGAUCGAGUCUGAGCACUCAAAUUUCGGUCCUCAGAUGGAGCUACAGCUUUCUCUCCAAUAACCAACAAUUUUCUAAACUCAGCACCUAGUGUGAUCAGAGUUGUUGAUAUUUGCAAAUGGAGAUCCCCAUAUUUGCAAAUGGAGACAUUUAACAAAUCACCAACAUGCUUCAUCCGGUCCACGAAAUUCUGCAACUGAUUCAAAUCUGGAACCUGAACCAGAGUCGGAGGUAUAUCUUGAGCCAUAUCUAAAGCAGUUUGAAGUUCAAGACCUUGAGCCCUUGACAAUGGUUUUGAAAUUGGAACAUCUUGGAUUACUGCAGACUUGUACCCCUUGGUUUCAAAGGUAAGGAAAGGCAUUGCUUGAGUACAAUUUGGAGGCAGCUUCUUCACCAAUUUUAUUUGGAGGCAAUUGGCAGCGGAUCCAGCUGCACCAAUUUCAGAGCAACUACUGACACUACUUCGAACAGCACACUGACGAAGUGAUAUGUCUACGGCAAAGGCAAUGCAGUCCUCAUUUUGGCUUGAGAUGCAGUAAUCAUCGAAGAGAGUUUCCUUGUGAAACUGGGCAACACAUUGAAUCCCUUCGCCACUGAGAAGGUUGUGGAGGAAGUAAGCUGUCUCUCUAGUGAGGAAGAGGUGGCAUACCUUCCCCAUUUUGUCUAGGGCAGGUAGGAAUCUUUUUUCUAAGAGAUUUACUUCAUUCUCUGUGAGAAAUGCUUUGAACUUCAUCCCUCUGUCUCUAUCCUCACUUAUCAGGAAAUAAGUUGAAAGCACUAUGAAGAGAGAGAGAGAGAGAGAGAGAAUUAAGAUAUAUAGACAAGAAAAUAAUUAGACGUUGAUCUUACAAACUAAUACUUCAAGCAGUAUCCUAGAAAGCUAAAAACUGCAAGAUGGCUUGAAAUUUGAAAAGAGCACAUGGUUUUCCUCCUUAACUUGAGAAAAUGUUUAAUAUAGUGCACCUUACAGAAGCAUUUAAGCAAUUAGAACUUUGCACAAAAACAUCAAGAAGACUAAACAAAUCAGAUGCAGUGUAUUUGUCCAAGCACAAAUUGCAUUUUGUCCUCAACUUUAAUAUUUAUUGAUGAGAAUCAAUACAGGUCCCUCAUUUGUUAUAGAAAGCUUUCUUGUAGUCUCACCAGUUAAUUCACAGGUCUAUAAUCAUCUUGCAAAGUUAAGGGCAUUUCUUUCGAUCUAAAGUCUUUGCAUCACCACCUCAUCACACGCCAAGCCAAUAUUCCAUUUACCUCUACAACAAAAAGUUUUUAAGUAAAUAAUCCUAAUGCACGCAGCCGAAUAAAAUGCAGUAAGAAUAUUCAACUUAAAAAUCUGAAAGCCAACUUGGUGAAUUGCCUCCUUAGGUGAAGUUCCAUGCUUUACUAUAGUUGACAGAACUCAGCAAAAGCUUCCAUACAACAGAUUUUGAAAAUGAUGAUGCCAAUAGAUACUCAUUCAAUCCAUUGAAACUCCAAAGGUUCAUUGUUCAUAGAAGUUUACAGAGUUUUGGUCAUCAAAUAGCUCAGACCUAAUCCCAAACAAAAAACGAGUGAAAAUUAGAUCACGAGCAGCUAAUUGUAAAUUCUAACUUAACUCUUCAUCUCCUUUGUAAACAAGAAACAAAAUGGAGACACGCAAAAUGAAUAUGGAGAAAAUUUGAACUCAAAUGAAAUGAGGGCACGAAAGCAAACAAAUGGCAUGCACAAAAAAACCAAGCCUCGAUAAAAAACUAAUUAACCAUUAAGAAAAAAAUUGGUCAGAGAAUGAACUCCAAAUUCAGGAGUCAAGCAAGAAGCUUUCAUUAUUUCAGAAGCUCCUGUACAAAUUAAUAAGUUAUGCUCUUUGGAAGCAAACCUAAAUUCCAAGAGAAACAGAACCCAAAAAAUUUGCAAUUAUACGCAAAGGAAGUGAAGCACAGGAUUCUAUCACACAUAGGAAUUGUAUAACAAGAGAUCGAUAUAUCGAAUUAGAAAACUCAAUUCGAAUUUGUGUCAAAAAUCAAAAUUAGAAGAUUUCACAUUUCGAGAGGAACAAGCAACAGAUGAAGUUCAAAAUUUCAGCCAUAACAUGCUAAAAAUGCUACACUUAACGGUUCAUUUUCAUGGAUUUUCUCGGGAAACAAACAGAAAAUUACGGUUUAGAGAGUUGACUGACCUUUUGGCUUUUGAAAUUGACCAGAUCGCGCGCCAAAUUGGAAGAGGGAAAGUGAAAGCGCGAGUUUUAAUAUGGGUAUUAGAUAAGGAAAUUUUAUUAGGUUGCGAGGGUAAAAAAGGAAAGAGAUAUCAUUAUUUUAUUAUCGAUAAUUAUUAAAUUUUUUUCCAAAAAAAAGAACAAGCAAGGAUUUUUUAUUGUCAUCACUAAGUUAAAAAAAAUUGUUUCAAAAUUACUUGAGUCAUAUCCAAUGGACCAACAAAGUAAUCGUUUUUAUUUUUAUUGAUUUUUGCAGGAAAUUAAUAACUUAAAAAUACUGAAAGCUACUGUAAAAAUUUUUAUUAUCAACCUCAUAAUUUUUUUUUUUUGGGGAAGAGAAUUCAAACUUUUUUUUUAUGAAUAUCGCUGUUUCGUUUGAGUUGGAUGUGAAUUCAAAUCCAAAUAUUCUUUGUUUUUCAAUUUUGAACUCAAUUUCUUUUUCUCAAGAAUGUUAUGCAGAAAUAAUUUUUACUAAAUCUUUUUUGAUGAAUUGUUUAAAUUAAACAAUUGGAAUAAGAAUUGUAACGAUUUAUCAUAAGCGUGCUAAUAUGAUAACUUGUUUUACGAAGGAUUAAUUAAUCAAUUAAUAUUAAAUUAUAUAUUAGUCAAUUAGAUAUGUGUUACAUUUAUCAUGUUUUGUAGGUGAUAGUACAUCAUUUCUAAAAGAAUAUAGUACGUUAAAAUAUUAUUUUAAUGAAGAAAAUUUUAUUAUUUUAUUAUUAGGUGACACAAUAAUAAAUGGAUUUCUGUAAGAAUUGAGAUUCUUGAUAUAAUUAUUACAUAAGGAGAAGUUUAGUUGGUUCAAUUUUGACGUGAUAAGAAGACAACACAGCACAGAAAACCCAAAUUGCCACUUCCACUAAUAAAAGAUACCUGUUUGAAAAGUAAUUAUAAACUAUCUUCUUUGUGUUAUUUCUCAAAACUUUUGUGGCACAAAUGUUAUUUCCAUUGACAACAGUACGAAAUACCACCCCUUUCACUUGAGCAGGAGCAAAGCAAAGGUAUGAUGAGCUAUCUCUGUAUAAUUGAAACGCCAUUACUAAACGAUUCUUGAUGAUGGGAGCCACCGUGCCAGCUUUGUCGCUGAUUUGCAUGAUUUAUUAGUUGUCCAGAUGGCGGAUUUUGUACUGUUACCUUCGUUUCAUUCUUCAGAGCCAUGUACUGUUCUAGGAUACCAGAGAAACCAAGGUGGCAUUGAAGUUGCCCUGGUGGUUAGUUUUCCGAUCAUUUUUUUAUUCAAUUAUUUAUGUUUUUAGAAAAAUGUAGGAAAUAUGUAGAAAUGUUGACAGCUAUGAUUUUGAAACUUUUGCCUAAAAUUGUUAUCAUUACUUGUUGUUUCUUAUUUAAAGAGAAAUUCUAGAAACAUGAAAUGAUUAUUCUACGCUUGUUUUAAUAUUGUGCUAUGAAGAUUACGAAGGUUUGAUUAUAUGUCACUAUCAAUUGCCUUAAUCGUUUGUCGUAAAUCAAUUAAGCAUUUUGAUGCGAAUGAUUCCCUAUUAAAAAAUUCAAGUCAGAGCUGAAUUGCAAAGUAGUUAGUCGUGCUUGCAAUUCAAAUUAAGUAUUGUAUUUUCUCCCUGAUUUGGUUGAUUCAACUAUGUGCAUUUGCUUAUGAACGUUGCAGUAUAGAAAUCGAAAUAUCUUGUCUUUUGCUAAGCCCAGAAGCAAAUUCUUUGUAUUCUACUCAUCAGUUUUCUUCAUUCUCUUUGUUGAAAUUUUAUCUAAACAGCGGUUUCUUCGAAUUUAUGCCUUCGCUUACUCUUUUAAAUUUUAUCCAAACAACGGUUUUGAAAUUGUUUUCACUACAAUACCUUAGUCUUUCAGAUGCUCCCGUCACUGAGUUGCCAGAAGAGCUAAAAGCCUUGGUAAAUCUUAAGUGUUUGAACCGGAGUACACAAAUUAUCUCUCUACAUUUCCAAAGCAAUUGAUUUGUUACUUUUCGAUGCUACAUGUUCCGCGAAUAUUCAGUUGUGGUUAUCUUGUUCAGAUACCAGAAAAUAGCGUUAUAUUUAGUGGUAAUGAAUUCUUGGUUUGGGAGUUGCUUAGUUUAAAACGUUUAAAUGUAUUAAGCAUCAUCUUGAAAAGUUUUUCUGCUGUCCAAAAACUUAUGAGCUUCCAAAAGUUUCAAAGCUGUACACAAUGCAUGGAGCUUGUAGACUGUGAUGAUCCAAAGUCAUUUGCCGUGGCAGAGUUGAAGCAUCUUGAAAAACUAGGUUUUUCAAGUUGUGGAAAUUUGGAAGAGUUAAAGUUCUGCUGUGUCGAAGUUGCAAAGGCUCGAGAAUGUUUUCGUUUGAACAGCCCUCACUGAGUUAAGAUGAAGGCUUGUCAUAAAUUGUGGGAAGCGACAGGUUAUUCAAAUAGAAAAAUUUAUGGAGAUGGAUGUUAAUCUUAAGGUUAUUCAAUUAGAAAAAUUUGAAUAAAAUUUAUGGUAAGUGCUUUUCCAUUUAUUGCAUAUUUAUAUCUAAUUUUUAUUUUCCUUUAUUGUUAAAUUUUGGUCUCUAUUUGUUGUUGUAUGGUGGCAUUCUUGUACAAUUAUUAGCUUUUCAUUUCUCUUCUCACAUUAACUGCCCUUCUGAUCAUGUAGGAUUUGCUGAUGCAAAGAGUCAUAAUUUGGGAUACAAAUGUAAGAAUUAGACAGAUGACAUGUUGUUUUGAAGCUCUCAAAGAAGGACUAAUUAUGUCAUUGAAAGCCUCCAAUUUUGUGAUUGGUUUCUUUUUAUUUUAUUUGUUGUUUUCUCUAUUUUCAGAUCACUUAAUUGUUAGUUGUUGUAAUGUAAUGUUUUAGUAUAGCAAAUUAUAUUCGGCCAAGACAGUGAUAGGAGGGCACAUUGUGCAUGCACACUAGUGGAUUUGGCAUGCCAAAUCCAAUUAGGAUGGAUAACACUUUAUAAGCAUUAGGCUUCUCUCAUACCUGAGUAAUAUAGAAUAUGUUUAUAAGUUGUGAAUCACCCUUUACAAGUGUUAGGCUUCUGCUAUACUCAGUGAUGUGAAAUAUAUUUAUAAGCACUAAACUUCUCCCAUACACUUUAUGUUAAUAA